AAGAAAUUACAGAAGAUUGCUAAUAAAUUACGAGAAAAGGGGCACUAAGACGAACUCUGCGACGCCAGUAUACUGCUCUCUUUGCACCGUGAAAAUCCCGUGCUUAGGGUGGAACACAAUCCAUCUAGUGGGAGUAAACCCCAGGAGCACCACACACUGCCCAAUCCAGUACAUGUUAUACGUGCUACAAUACCACGCCUUGCCGCCACCGUCAUCCACAAAGGCAUCAUCUUUUUCAAGCUGCUCGCAUCUCAAGCUCGUUACCACUGGGUGUCGACUCAAGAGCUCCAACACCACCUCCUCGCUGGGUCGAGUAAUCACACCCACCCUCCUCAAACUAUUACCUAGAACAUAAACUUGGAAUAAAUUCUUGUCCUGCUGCUUAUGCCUGAAAAGCUCCAGUGCCUUCUGGAUCAAGGACAAGGCUGGCUGUUGGCGUUCCUGGAGAGAAAACUGGUGUGCUGUGCCAAGCUUGGUCAUGGCCUGGGAGCAAUGGUUUAACGCUUGCUCCCAGCAACCAGAGCACCGUUUCGCUUCUUUGUUUACUGUGGCUAUGGGCAUACCUUGCUCAUCGAAGUCAAACAGAGGCUGGAGAUCACCGCCUCGAGGCGGAUUAGUGCUUUUCAACUCGCUACCUGGAAAAAGACCGCUCCAGUCGACUGUCGCUUCCUUGGGAGAUUUUCCUGGUACAAAAGGCUCAACCUGGUAUACCCUCUGAGCCCUAGACGCAAGAUCUCUGAGGCAACACCAGCGCGAAGCGUGGAUCACAACAUCCGGCUCCUCCACUACCAUCUUUUUAGGGCAACCCUUCAACUUUAAGCCUAGCAUGAUAGUCAAGCAUUAAGUAUGCUUUUAUUUACCAAAAGAGCUAAAAAAGAAUAUAUUGAGCAGGAUAAGAUGAAUUUGCCAAUGCAAUCACAAAACCUUGUGCUGUAAACUCGUUCCUCCCUUACAAGUGCUUGAUCGGCUGCCUUAGCUUCCACAAACGCAACAGCAUCUUAAGAAAGAAACCGAUGAAACUAGUGACAUACCUUUCUGAUUAGAAUCGGGAAUGAGCACCUGUCUUCCCAUCCGCCCCAUACAGCCAGUACUCGAACGAGCCUUCCACAAAGUUGUAGUAGCCACCAUGGAGCGUGAGGUUGCCAUUCAUGACUGCGUCGUGCACGAAGGGAAAAGCCAAGAGGUUUGACAGCGAUAAGUUGAUAGACUCCUGGCACGAAAUCGUCAGACGAACGGGGAAAGAGCAGCGCUCGCAGAGCAAACCUUUUCGCACAUUGUGCACUGCUGUUCCAGGUCCUGGUCAGCUGCUGCCUUGAGAGCCGCGGUACGAGCCGCAAGCCCAAUCUGGAUCCAGUCUUCAACAAAAACACUGGCUAAAAAAUCACGUCAGUUGUGCCAGAAACUAGAAGAAAUACGCAAAGCGAGAGCGUAAAAGUACCUCCGUUUCACAUUUUCCUUCUGUGUCAUGAGAGCAAGGAUGCCACCACACCUGCUGUGCCCGAUCACCAUUAUACUCUCCACCUAUGGACGGUUUGCAAAGCUUGUAUUUGCCGGAAAAUGGUUACCUUGAGAACCAUGACGGCGUAUUCAAUAGCUGCACUAGUGCCGGGAUAGAUCAUAGCCUGCCCGGAUUUUCACAACCAUGCUUUGGAAUCCAAACCACAGAGUACCUGCUCUGGUGGAGGAACCAUGUUAGCAAUGUUGCGGACGACAAAUGCUUCGCCUGGCCGGAAUCCAAGAACUGUCGUGGGGCAUACUCUCGAGUCCGAGCAGGCAAUGACCAUGAACUGCACAAAAAAUAUAAAGAGAUGAGCCGUUUCGAGCGUUCACGGCGCUUACCUUUGGAGUCUGCUUCACCGCUACUUCGCGAAACAGCUUUGGUUGCCUCCUGUCCACAGCACAAAUUCGGAAGUUGGCAUUGAAACCGUCCAGGGAUUCAGAUUUGUGUGGCGUACAAAAAAGUCUCCUGCUUGAAUUUUUCAAAGCCGUGCUGGAUUCUCUGCUUCACUCUCUCCGUUGGGGUGAAUGUAUUCUGCGCGAUCACCAAAAAAUCAUAAAAAAACCAAGAAGGACAAGAGUAAACUUACUUGGUAUGCUUGGCAGAGGCUCGUGUGUCUCCCCGCCGCGCAUUUGCCAAAACAAACAACGGAACAAAAGGUGCUGCCCAAUCCUCCUGGAAACGGCGCUCGGAUCAUCUUUUCUUCGUAUUUAGGGUGUGCUCUACACACGCAGGCGCCAAGUGGUGUCCUACGUGCCAAAGAAAAACAGUUACAAAGAAAACCAAUGGAUACGUACUUUACUCCGUGAGACCUGAGCUCGUUGAGGAAGAAGCACCAUUCACAGUAUAAAUAUAAAGUAGCACCCAGAGCUCUCUAUUCCUGAAACAAAAUGUCUAAAAACCAAACAAACGAACAAAAAAAAAUAAAAAAUGGUAUAAAUGAAGAUACGACGAGGCAAGCAAUACCUUGAAGAUCAUAAUGCUCAAACAUCAGAAAGGCGAGAAAUCAAGCUUGUUAAAUUUUCGUUAAGCAUACUACAGUCAUUCACACAUCCAGGAGAAAAUCACUUACCAGGGCAGUGAUAAAAAAAAAUCACAUGGAUGCACUAACUAUUAUGUCACCGAAUGGAACCUCUUGCUUCACUAAGAGAGACUGCUGGACCCGAGGACCUGUUCCACACGCUGUCAGAAACAAGUCACGAAUAAAAAAAAACACAACAUUACCAGAAUGUCAUAAAACAUGCAAGCUGCAACUCUUCUAGUUUUUCCCGUCAGAAUUUGUUCCAGCGACAAACUCGCGUUUGGAGCCUGUUUGCUGAGCCUCUCCAACAUAAGUGCUACCGCCCUGGUCACAUGAAACAUCAUUGAGAAUAUAUUUACCACUUGAUAAGCACUGACCUCGUUCGUCCGGAGCAUACAUCACUGUCUGGAGCUUGGGAGUCAUGGUCGUCUAGAAGUUCUGUAAGGAGAUGAGCGAAAUGGUGAGUGGAAAGUGCAAAUAGUAUCAUCACCUUCAAAAUGGCAAUCAAAGUCCUGCAGAAAAGCCGGGUUCAUAAACAAAUGAAACAAAAUCACGCAGCUUACGGGUAAAUCAGCUACAGAGUCGACAGCUGGGUUUAUAGAAGCGUUCAAAUUGUCUUCCCGGUUCAGAUUAUCUCCAGCAAGCUUUUUCGUGGCGGCGAUCUCUAAAAGUUUGUUAAAAUUUAGUUCUUAUGAACUUCAAGGUAAGCUUAAUACCUCUCUCUGUUUCGCGUUCCAAAACACCGUAAGUCCUCAGUUGAUAGUUGCUCGCUGGCAGCCGGCUACCAGUUAGCAGCUGAAGCAACCUCUGGUCCCUAGCAGUCAUGUUUUGCAUAAGAAGCAUUCGUCGAUAACAGCAAUCGGCUCUUUUACGAGGCCUUAGCAGAUCUUUUGUGCUACGGAGCUGGUUCUGUAGCAGCCUACCAAAACCCGGGAGUCAGAGUUGUAAACGAAUUUAUGAUACUCGGCUUACUCGUUCGAUAGCAUGGUCGACAUAUCAAACGCAAGCCGCUUCCGCUUGUUACUGGUCCUGACGUUGCUGCGUAUCACAGCGCAUGAUUUCUGAGGUGUUCUUGGAGCGAAGGCCAAAUCUGUGAUAAAAGACAGUCAAGAGCCUUUAAACUUACAGUAGCUCACCUGAUUCUUUUUCGGAAAAAUAGCCACAGUCUUGCGCGCGAAUGGCCUUCUCCCUCUCUAUCACAGUCUGAAAAGGAGCAUCUGGCAUUUGCUGAUCAGCUAUCUCAUCAACGAUCGAGGCCAAGGACCGCAUUGCCGUUGGACGUAGAAGGCUGUAAGGUGCUCGCUCCCUAUGGUCUGCCAAGACGUCAUUUGUUGGUGUUUGCGGCUGAAAUACUCCAUCGUCCACAAUGCCGGACCAUUCGUCCAUGUUUUCUUUCUCUUGGCUGCAGUACAGGGUACGUUACUCUCGUUGAAGAAAGGAAUCACACCAUAUCAUUGCGAGAUGACUUCCUCAACUUCGAAGCCGAAUGACAAAUCACCAUCAGGAAAUCUCUCUGUAAAGUAAAAAGUUAGAAACGACUAGACAAAAGCCAGUUCUCACCAUCUAGCUGCAUGUUGUAAGAUCCAAAAUGAUCUACGUUUGGCUGCAAAGUAAUGUGCUCUGCCAGUGCAACGUGCAAAUUGACAUUGCUGCACAAACGCUAACAGAAAGUUAACAGUGCAACAUUGCCAAUCAUAUUCUCGUACCUGUGUACUGCGUUUACAACCUCUUCUUCUCGAAAAGGAUCGAGCAAGUCUGCUAAGUUUCCAGCAUAGCCCACACAAAGGCGCUCAGUUUCCAGUAGAGAAGCCUCGCUAGCUUUGAUGCUCGCUUCUCGCCAUCGUUGAAUUCUCUAGAUCGACUAAAUCGAUUCGACCCCCAGAUCGAUUUACCACGUCACAACAACCGACCAAUCCCCGAUCGCGACAAGCUCUGCCGCUUUUGGAAAUAUCUAUGGGCGGCGUAUAUGGUAAAACACCUAAAAGGAGAAAUACCCUAUAACGGAAGAACCCUAAACUAAGCUGGUCCUGUAGAAAGCCGCUGCAUUCUUCCAUGGAUUGGCGAAGUAAUCCAUGCCCAUCGCCCGCACGCGCUGCAAGUCCGCACAGCGAUCGAGCCUUGCAUUGCGUCGUCCCAGGGGAUGAUCAGGAGGCGGAUCAUCGGAUUUGCGUCGACGAUGAUCCAGAUCGAUGGGGUCAUUGCCGUACCGCGCGAGCGCGGCGUAGGGCUCGCCAUCUUCCUCAGGAAGAAAUCCCCCCGGCCCGGAGCCUGGCCGUUGAGCCGAGGGCGUGAACAGGAUGAUCGAAGCUCUGCCACAGCGGCAAGCCAUCGGCGGACUCGAGAAUGAGGUUCCCGGAAUCGUCCAGCGUCAUGCCCCGGGCGGUGACGAUUCCUGACCUCCACAGCCCGUGUGGAUCGCCAAUCGCGAUCUCCCGUGCCCGAGGGCACGAUCCUGGAGCUCGGGCUCGAUGGCAAUCUCGUCCCCCGGCCGGAGGCGCUGUCAAUCAUCGCAGAGGGGAGAAGUGGAUGGAUCGUUGAUCCACCGCGCCCCAAGCGCCAAGCAAUAUAACUUUUCGCUAUGUUUUUCGGGCGGCAUAAGACCAUGGAGUUUUACUCACUCACUUGAACCUGCAAUGUGCUCUUAGCUCCUCCAUUCUGUAAAGAUUAAUGGCCGGUGUGUUAUCGCUUGAUGGCUGGGGAGGUUCCUCUGGCUCCAUGGAAAUUGUUGAGAAAAAUUGUGCUCCACCCGGUGCAAAUAGCUGACAUCACAGAAUUCAAAAUUCGUAAACUUGAGUCCAGUUCAAUUUGCUGGCAUUUUGCAGUAAUGAACAGAUUAUACCAGAUAAAAUGCUGAAUGCACUGUAAUUUUGAAGAACCCUAAAAUCAUGGCUGCCCGCUCGAGUUGACUGGCGAAAUCCUCUGAAUCUAAGCGAAAAAACCACCAAACAUAAUCCAUCACCUCCCAGAACUAAAAGAACUUUAACCAUCCGCAUUAUCGUUCAACUACCCCCAUCUGAUGGGUUAUAAGAAGCUUGUUUAGUGUUGUGGAAGUUUCAUAUAGACAAAGGCGAUCAAGCUUUGGUAAGAGAGGACCAAGUUUACACCAGGACAUCAGCUACUUUUGCAAGAUCUUGGACACUAGGACUAUCAUAUCCAAUAUAUUCCCUUCAUAUGAAAGAAUGUAUCAGUGUGCUAGAGUAAGAAAAAAAAAUGUAUUUCUACAUGUAAUGUUGAUAUUAUAUAAAAAAAAAAAACUAUAUCAGUGGGCUUGCUGCGUAAGGUAGGACUAGUAAUAUAACACCCUAGUGAAUCCAACUCACCAACAAGUUGUAUCUUGUAAUUCAUUCAGUGUCCUCUUGCAUAUUUCCAUCCUUUAAAAUGUAAAAUAUAAACAAAACCAUUAACCAGCAUAUACCUUAGAUAUAUUAAAUUAAGUGAUGGUAAGAAACCACCAAAAAUAUUUCAAAAGUAUGUGUGGUAAGAAACCAAUAUUUACCAGUUCACCCCGCAUCCAACGGCCCGGAUUGCCCAGAUCCGGAGGCCCACAAAGUUCGGCGUUUGCUCCUUAUAGUAGUAGACUGCUACAUAUAGCAUAGAAAAUUUUUGUUUUUAGAGAACAUGAACUGCAAGGUUCAUAUAUCAAAGAUCUGUGAAGUGAAUUCUAAGUCCCUUUGUGGGGCAUCUAAUGCUGAGAUAAGCAUCAUGUCAAGAAAAAAGAAUUGUUCACAAAACCAAGAGCUAAAGAUUUGUUUGGAAAUCUUUAGCAUACAAGAGCACAAGCAUGGAAUUUUUUUAUCAAAGGUUACUUUCAUGCAUAUGAGUAUAAAUCACUCUUGAAUUCACAAUGAAAAGUUGAGUUUGUGAGCUAAACAAUUGUACUUUAAUACAAUCAUUAUAAAUAUAUAAAAAUUAAGGUUCAUGGCAAGCUUAACUUUAUACUAUAUUUUAACAUCUCUACACUUAAAAAUGUUUUGGAGGAACCUUUAGAAUUUGAAUCUCUUCUACUUUUCAAAGUUCAAAGUUAGGGAAUAAUUGUCUGUGAUUAUACUUAGGCCACCCUCCGGUCACCAUAGGGUUUAUUAAACUUUAAUUUUGAUCCAUCAUGUUAAAUAUUCUUUUAAAAUAUUCUUGCCUCAUUCAUCAGCCACAAGAAUCAAACUAAGCUUCUAUACUAAUGUUAAGAUCCUAUCCCUUACACUCUAAACCAAUUAGUUAAAAGGGUAAUCAUUUUAUUAUAAGGCCCUUUUUUUUAUCUUAUUAUCCUGACCUAUCCCACUACUAUGAUACCUUAAAACUUCCCUUUUUUGCCCUGCUUAUAUAAAAUAGGGGUACUUAGCUCAAGUUUAGGGUUCAUUGUUGAUAAAGACUUGGGAUUAGGGUCCAUUGAUUGCCUCUCUCCACCCUCACAAGGUAAGUUUGUAUAGGUAGGUAGCAAUAAGUGAGUAAGACAGAGAUUUGGAAAGUGAAGCUGCUUGCAACGAGCUAAGAGGUAUGCUAGAGGCGAUCAAGAAAUCGUGUUGAAACUCUCAACAAGCAAAGUGCAAAACAACGGGCCAAGGAACUCUCAAAGCGAAGAGAAACUCACGCUGUGUGAAUACGAACAAAACUAACGAUCAAGAACACUUAGUUUCAUGUUGCCAGGUUUGCAUGUGUUUCGAUUUGUUCUAAUUUCUUGUCAUAAAGAAGCCAAGUGACAUGUUGGUGCUACUCAACGAUGAUAAGAACUGAAAAAUGCUAUGUCACAGCGUGUGACAAAAAGAAAAAUGCUACUAGAUUGGAGAGAUUUUGUGUCAACGUUUUGGAGAGAUUUGUUGUUGCUGUGCUCAACGCAAUUCCUGCAAGCCGAGAAACAACGUGAUAUUCAGAACUUCAAUCCAGCUGAAGACGUACAUGACAAUGACAACAACGAUCAUGAUCUGUCGCUGAUCCUUGGUCGGACCUGUCAACUCUCGGACCUCUCCACCUCGCAAGGUAAGUUCGUUUAGAGCUCUUCUUUGUGGUAGCAAUAAGCGAGUAAGACAACGAAACAAGAAAGAUUUGUCGGAGACAAAAGAGCGAAGCUGCUUGCAACGAGCUAGGAUCGAAUGAUCAACGAUAAAUGAGAAAUUCUCAACGUUUGAAGACAUCAGGUUCGUUCUUUCUUUUCGAUUGAGAGUGUCGACAGGGUCAAGAAGAUGCUAUGCUCAACGCAUAAGGGAGCCAGUGACACAGUCAAGCUAAAAUGCUCAUCAAACAACUCAAACGAGCUAAGUGCAAAACAACGGCCCAAGGAACUCUCAAUGCGAAGGGAAGCUUGUGAAUAUCAUUGAAAGUUGACGAUACUUAGCUUCAGGUUUGCAAGUGUUUCAAUUUGUUCUAAUUUCUUGUCAUGAAAAAGACAAGUGAACGUGUUGGUGCUGCUCAACCACGAUAAGAACUGAAAAAUGCUGUGUUCAAAAAGAAAAAUGCUACGAGAUUAAAGAGAUUUUGUGUCAACGUUUUGGAGAGGCUUUGAGUUAUGUUGUUGCUGUGCUCAGCGCAAGACCUGCGAGCUGAGAAACAAUGCGAUCUUCAGAACUUCAAUCCAGCUGAAGACGUACAUUGACAAUGGUCCAACCUCAAUGAAAACAACGAUCAUGAAAACUCCAAAUUCAAAGGAAUGUGCAUAGCGUGAAUUUACAAGGAAAGACGCCUGAAUCAACUCAUAUAUUGGUUUGUCUAACUAGGAUGUUUGCUGUUCAACGAAAUGGAAGUCGAAGUUUAAGAGGUUCGUGAGCUGUUUGUUCUAACCAAAAUGUUUGUUCAAAGAACUGGACAACGCCAGGAGAGGCUUCAACCUUCCAGGUCCAUGUUCUCUUUAGUUUUCUUUAUGGUUUCUCUAACUUCCUUUUGUUUUUGCAACACCAUGAGAUUGCGACGGUGCCACAGAACAACGUUCCAGGGCCAGCUAACGAUGGGUAAAUGGAAGUUUACGCUCUGGCAGUGGGAAAACGAGACGAUCUACACAAAGCACUCUGUGGUUUCCUUGAAAAGAAAUGAAUACAUUUACAAAGUUGCAAACAUUUGUCAAGUAGUUAUGUCUCUUCAGGCACUAGCUUAGCUGUUGUUUCCGUGGGAGUGGCCAUUGCCAGCGGGACGGGAGCCGGUUUGUGAGCUUUAUUCACGAAGUUCACGGAUGAAUCAUCUAAUCAAUCCUUACUCCCGAGAUGCAUGGGAAACGGAAGGAAAAUUCGCCCAAGAGCCAAGAACAGUGGACGAACUGGAGAUAAACAAAGAGAGGAACUCCUGGUUUGAGAAUACAAGGUUAAAACUAUUUUGCUUCUUGGUGUUAAGGUUUGUGGGCUAGCUUAGGCCCUGACUAACAAGUUGCUUUCUUAUAAUGUGAAAGUUAGACUUCUCACAAGCCCAAAGCCACAAGGCGCGAUUCUUUGUUUGAGUAAGAGCUUGCAAACUUUGAGUAUCAUAAGUGUCCCAAAGGGUGCUUGCUGUCCGCUAGGCAGUGGUGCGUUCCCUGGUCUCUCAAGUAUCACAGUGUCCAGGCCUGGCAACAAAAGCAAUGAUACAUUAGCAACACAUCUCUCGCUUUUUUUUCCCAGACAUUACCAGCGUCUUUAGCAGCAACAGCCCGUGGCGAAGUAAUCUGAGAAGGCUCAUCGGCACCCACCGAAAGUGCCUCUCGUUUGUUUCUGAAAAGGAAUGAGAUGUGAGGAGCAAAUAUAAUGAACCAAGUGCGGAAAAUCUCACCCUGCAGUAUCGAAGUAGCCCAAAGUUUGUGUUCCCAAAGAUCAACCGCUGUGCUUCUCGGCUCCCACUCGAGUAAAUAUAGGCCUAAAAGGAACAAGGUGACGACAUCAACAUCGUGCUUUGGCAACUCCUAUCAGACCUUCUACUCAGCACAAGGAGAGUGGAACGUCCUGAAAGACUUGGCCUUUGUGUUCACCGUUUUUGUAUCCUGUUCUCCAAAUAUAUCCCUGUGAUGCAAAGGACCAAGAAACGUUGAUUCAAAACAAGACCAGACCUGGAAUUAUUUGAGGGCUGUAACUUUGCGAUCAGCAGCAGUCAUGCGAGAACGUUACGCUCUGACUUCGUCCUUAUCACUUGGGAGAAUAAGCUGCGUUUGCACGUUUCCCUCCUUCGUGUCUUUAAGAACCUGCUUGACAUAACACGAGAUUUCUGCUGCCACCAAAACCAAUGAAAUCUUGGCUGUUGCCUGAGAAGGUCUAGAUCACCUUGAGUCUCCUUCGAAUCGUAAGUGGCUGAGAGGUGUUUUCCCUCAUUGUCAUGUGCAUAGGGAAACAAACGUCCAUACGGGAAUCGUGGUGCACACGAGAAAAACAUUUGAUAAAAGCCCUCAUUAAUAGACAGCAUUUCUUGCGGGAUAGUUUUUCCUUGGAGCUGCAAGGCUGAGUUUCUUCACUGGUCCAUGCAAGGGGUCUGUAUGGUCGAGGCCAAACUGGCGAAGCUUAAGUGCGGCAUCAAAAAGAUAAUGGUAGCAUUCUGCCUUCUUCGCAAAAGAUUAAGAGUCAAGCUGGAAAAAAUACUAUCACCUGAGUUUUAGCACAGAACCACGAGUCACCCCAAACGUGAUCCCAUGGUUUCUCACUAACGCUGCCGUCGUUCAUGGAUAAGCGGCACUCUUCCAGCAAAACACGAAUAAGAAAGACAACAGUGAGAAACGAACGAGCUUUUACUCACGGCUGCUGCUAAAGAAUCCGUGAGCUCAUAUUCAUAUGCAGAGUUUUCAAUGAUCGGGACUACGAGUUAACCAUGCCCUUCGAUUCCUUUGAUCAUCUCCAUGUCCACGACGGUGCGAUGUAUCGCCGGCUGAGAUCCAGAAGCUGUGCAGGCACGCAACAGCAGCACGGAAGAGCCAUCCAGCAGGCUGUCCGAUCAGCAGGAUUCCUCGUCCCCUCCAGCUACGUUUUGGACUAAUUCUCUUUUUGUCCUUAUGGUACUUAGCUUACGUUUAGGGUUCAUCGUUGAUGUAUACAAUACUCAAACUUAGGGUUCAUCGUUGAUGAAGGGCUAGGGCGGUGGAUGCCGCGGACGGGAUGUCUUGGGGUUGGGGUCGCGACCCUUCCACUCUGCCCAUUGAUCGGAGCUCCAGCUUCUCUCUCCACUCUCGCAAGGUAAGUUCGUUUAGAUAGGGCUUUUCUUUGCGUUAGCAAUAAGACAAAAGCGAAGCUGCUUGCAACGACCUAAGAGGUAUGCUAGAGGCGAUCAAGAAAUCGUGUUGAAACUCUCAACGUUUGAAGACACCAGGUUCGCUCUUUCGAUUGCAACGCAAAAGUGAGCCAGUGACACUACAAACAACUCAAACAAGCAAAGUGAAACAACGAGCCAAGGAACUCUCAACGCGAAGGAUGUGGACAACGCUCUGUGAAUACAAACAAACUAGAUCAACGACACUUAGUUCCAUGUUGCCAGGUUCGCGUGUGUUUCGAAAUUUCUUGUCAUGAAGAAGCCAACAUGUCGGUGCUGCUCAACGACGAUAAGAACUGAAAAACGCCUUGUCACAGCGUGUGCCAAGAAGAAAAAUGCUACUAGAUUGGAGAGAUUUUGUGUCAACGUUUUGGAGAGAUUGUCAGUGCUUUGAGUUAUGUUGUUGCUGCGCUCAACGCAAGACCGGUGAGCUGAGAAACAACGUUGGGCAUCUGCGAUCUUCAGAACUUCAAUCCAGCUGAAGACGUACAUGACAAUGACAACAACAAUCAUGAUCCGUCGCUGAUCCUUGGCCGGACCGGUCAACUGCCGCACCUCUCCACCUCUCAAGGUAAGGGCUUUUCUUUGCGUUAGCAAUAAGCAAGUAAGACAGAGAUUUGCCAGGGACAAGAAAGCGAAGCUGCUAAGAGGUAUGAUAAACGAUAAAAGAAAGGAGGCGAUCAAGAAUUCGUGUUGAAACUCUCAACAUUUGAAGACACCAGGUUCCCUCUUUCUUUUCGAUUGCAACACAAAAGGGAGCCAGUGCUAAGAUGAUGUGCUCAAACAACUCAAACAAGCAAAGUGCAAAACAACGGGGAUUUGUUCUAAUUUCUUGUCAUGAAGAAGCCAAGUGACAGCUCAAUGACGAUAAGACGUGUGCCAAGAAGAAAGAUGCUACUAGAUUGGAGAGAUUUUGUAUCAACGUUUUGGAGAGAUUGUCAGUGCUUUGAGUUAUGUUGUUGCUGCGCUCAACGCAAGACCUGCGAGCUGAGAAACAACGUUGGGCACCUGCAAUCUUCAGAACUUCAAUCCAGCUGAAGACAUACAUGACAAUGGUCAAACCUCAAUGAAUACCUCAACGAUCAUGAUCCGUCGUUGAUCCUGGACCAGCCCCUCCACCUCGCAAAGGUAAGUUUAUUUAUUUUUCUUUGUGUUGGCAAUAAGCGAGUAAGACAACGAAACAAGAGAGACUUGCUGGAGACAAGAAAGCGAAGCUGCUUGCAACGAGCCAAGAGGUAUCAACAAUAAAAGAAUUAUCAACGAUAAAAGAAAGGCUAGAGGCAUUCAAGAACUCGUGUUGAAACUCUCAACGUUUGAAGAAUUCAGGUUUGCUCUUUCUUUUCAAUUGAGAGUGCUGACAACGGGGUCAAGAAGAUGCUAUGCUCAACGCAAAAGGGAGCCACACAGUCAAGCUAAGAUGAUAUGCUCAAUCAAACAACUCAAACAAGCUAAGUGCAAAGCAACAGUUCAAGCAACUCUAAAUGCGAAGGGAAAUUUGUGAAUACAAACAAAACUAACGAUCAUUAAAAGUUGAUGAUACUUAGCUUCAGGGUUUGCGUGUGUAAAUUUGUUCUAAUUUCUUGUCAUGAAAAAAAACAAGUGACGUGAUGGUAAGAACUAAAAAAUGCUGUGUCCAAGAAGAAAAAUGCUACGAGAUUGGAGAGAUUUAAUUGUUGCUACGCUCAAUGCAAGACCUGCGAGAAACAACGUUGGGCCAGAACUUCAAUCCAGCUGAAGACGUACAUUGACAAUGGUCCAACCUCAUUGAAAACAACGACCAUGAAAACUCCAAAGUCAAAGGAAUGUGCAUAGCGUGAAUUUACAACUCAUAUAUUGGUUUGUCUAACUAGGAUGUUUUCUGUUCAACGAAGUGGAAGUCGAAGUUUAAGAGCUAUUUGUUCUAACCAAAAUGUUUGUUCAAAGAACGCCAGGAGAGGCUUCAGUCUUCCAGGCUUUAGUUUUUUUUAUGGUUUCCCUAACAUCUUUUUGUUUUUGGAACGCUAUGAGAUUGCAACGGUAACGUUCCAGGGCUAUCUAACGAUGGGUAGGCAGUGGCAAAACGAGACGAUCUAUACAAGUGGUUUCCUUACAUAUACAAAGUUGCAAACAUUUGUUUAGUAGUUAUGUCAAAAAACAUUCCCAGAGACGAGCUUCUGGAGGCUGUGGCAGCUACUCAAGAGCUCGUUAAACCUCUUGUAGCUGUCCGAGCUUGAAGACUUCGGGCUCGUCACUUCCAAGCCGAUCCCUUCUGGCGUGAGCACGAGCAGCUUCGUGUCCUCUGUCCACGGCCGAGGAAUUUCUUCCAGUCCAAUCGCUGCUGCCUGAGUAUUUUCAUCCAGCCUUGCCACUAGCUCGUCCAGUCGUGCCUCUGGCUCUGUCUGAGGGUUCUUCUUCGUCCCUGGCGUUCGGGAGUAGACUCAAAAGCUCGAGCUCAUUUCCGCUUCUCAGGUACUCGAGCUCGUGCCUGACCAUUGCGUCCUUUGGCUUUGAAGUUGCAGUAUCACGGGCAGUCUCAGUCUCCUUGGUGUACUGCUGGUUGUAUGUCUCCACAAAACUCACAACCUUUUCCUGGAUCAACUCGGGGAUGUGGCCACCUUGGAGGCGAGACGCAAACGUGAGACUCUUUUUGUAGUCCCCUACCUCGUCUCUGUGAAAGGGAGAGGCUCGCUGUUAAGACGCAUCAGCUUCUUCCAAACACCCGACGCCAGUUUGCCAGGAUCGCUCGCUGGGUGCAACAUGGCUAGCCUCCGGUUCUUCAUAGCUCAGGUACACUUCCAGCGGAGCAAGUAGAGACUUGUAUUCAAUGGUUUUGUAUGACAUAAACUGGUUUACUCUGCCUUCUACACCUCUUGCAUACUUUGAAAACUGUUAAUGGUCAAAGGCAUGAAUAAAGACCAUUAGCCAGGAAUUUUUUGACUCGACUAUAAUGAAGAUAAAUGGCCAUGUGGUGUGCUACCAAAAGGCUGGGCAGGUUCCUUUGAUCAAAGCGCUGACAAUCUCUCCAAAACGUUGCUAACCUAGUAUGGCACACGCUGUGACAUGUCGUUUUUCAGUUCUUAUCGUCGUUGAGCAAAACCAGCAUGUCACUUGGCUUCUUCAUGACAAGCAAUUAGAACAAAUCGAAAGACACGAGAACCUGGCAACGUAAACCUAAGUAUUGUUGAUUGUUCAUAUUCGUCCACAUCAGUGAGUUCGCGUUGAGAGUUGGCCCGUUGUUUUGCAGUGUCACUGGCUCCUUUUUGCGUUGCAAUCGAAAAGAAAGAGCGAACCUAGUGUGAGAGUUUCAACACAAAUUCUUGAUCCCCUCUAGCCUUUCUUUUAUGGCAUUGGAUUAGGCAGCGAGGAUCAUGUUGAGAGUCCAAAGACCGCGAGAAAUCAAUCUGCCAGCGAUUAGGGCGUGGAACAAACUAAUUUACUCUCCUACAGCUGACGAUGCCACUCAUGAAGAGCAGCACCUCCAAAAACUAAAGUAGCCUUCGUGCAUUCAUUUCUUUCGUGAUGAAAACCACAGAAACAGGGCCCAUACAUCUUUAGACCAUGGAGUCAAGGGGACCAUUCGCCACUCUUAUUUGAAGCUCCCGUGCGGAGAGGAACUAGCAGUCCAGGGUUGUAAACCUCGCAAAGAGCUCGCUUUGCAGCAGCCUCUUCAUCUGCUCCACGAGCAGCAUCACCACAAUCCGGCGCUCUCGCAUCCCGCCCUGGGGCAUGGGAAGUAGCACCACCACCCCGUUGCCAUACCACGGCUCCAGCACCAUCGAGAAGUGGGCCGGCCGCCCCCCAAACUCAAACUCGUACACCGGGAAUGAGUGCAAGCUGACACUGAAGAUCCCCAUCCCGGUGCUGGGUGGCAGGACGUUGAGCCCGAUAUCAUGACUCAGCACGCCACGGAGGAAGCGAGGAGUGAGCGUGGCAAAGGGGCAACCACGUAAGAGUGAGGGGUGCUGUAUUAUGCAUUUCUUCCUCAUGGCCCUUGCGCAGCGUCUCCUCCAUCCAGUCGAUGGUAGACUGGAUCCUCUCCUGGCCUACGUUGCGGACAUCCUCGUGGAAGAGCCGCGCGGUGUGGGAGAUGUGCUUGUUCUUGAGAUCGCCCACGGCGCACGGCAGGCAGAGCGUGAAGGAGGAGGUGCCGCAGUACUCGCUCGGCAUCGGUGAUGCACUUCCAGACGAGAGCCGAGACGGCCUCGAAGGAGGUCGAAGGCUGCUGCCGUAUGCGAACGGGCCAGACGCGAUCUCGUGCUUGAGCUCCGCGAGCUGCUGCUCGUUCAUGUGGAAUGCCCGGACGUGGUAACUGGGCUUGAAGUCCUGGGCGGCCUUGUCCAUCUCCUCGGCGAUGGCGGGGGUCACAGCAACGAAGUCCCGGACCGGCACGGUGACGCUGGGCGGAUCCCACGCCUUGAGGAGGCUGGAGUCGAAGCUGGGCGGUGGAUUCGGCGGUGGGAAUCCCCGGUGGAGCUCCGACCAGGCCUUGAGGAAGGGGAAGACCGAGGAGCCGUCCAGGAGGGUGUGGCUGGUGACGAGGCCCAGAGCUAUCCCGCCACACCGGAACUUGGUCACCUGGGAGAGUAGUCAAAGCCGAUCAAAGCCGGUCAAAGGACUUACCUGAACUUUGAGCUGAGGGAAGUUCUCCGGAUCGGUGAUCGCGGUCUGGGCCGGGUUGAGCUCCUGCCCGAUGGAGCACUGCUUCAUGGAAUUGCCCCAGUCGCCGAAGCUCGCAUCGGUGAAGGCCACCACGAACUCGAUGCCACGGUCGUUGCAGUCGAGGAUGGGACGGUCGAGGCCGGUGAUUCUGGGCCUCCCGGCUAGCGGAUAGUACGGGACGAGGAUCCGGGAGAGCGAGUCCUUCAAACUCGCCACCAGUGAAUCGAAAGAGCUUAUGUGGUCCAGAGCAGCUGGGUAGUAGUAAACUUGCUUGAGAUAGUUCUCGGCCAGGACCUGGAUUUGGAAGUUGCAAAGCCAGAGUGCAGAGCUGCGGUGUUGGGACCGCUGGAACGAUCGUCGACACGGACUCUACGCGCACAACCAUCUUUGCAACCAAAGAUGAAAUCCACAAAAACCACAAAAACACUCAAGAGAGGGAGAAAGAAUCCCACUUUUGAUGCAUGAUUGACAUGGCGGCUUCACACACUGCAGGAGGGCUGCAUAGGGGCGGACCAGAUUGGUGGAGAUGGUGGUCUUGCCUGAGGCAGUGUGGCCGCACAUGAACAGCUUGGCAAUUGAUGGUGUGACUAGAGCGCUUUUUGCAAGAACGGGGCUCUUCUGAAAUAGAGCAUUCCUGUACUUCAUUGUAGCAACCAAAAACCCAAGUUCAGGGGACUCUGACUUUGAACCCAGGGCUGCAUUGGAGCCAUAGAUUAAAUCAUGCACAGCAUAUAGUAUAUGCUAGUAGUUAGAACCACUAGCCUUUCAAAAGGGGGAAUCUGAAUUAUGGAUCCCUAUCUCCAUUCCAUCGUUUUUUUUAUCAAUACACAGCAUUCUUUUACUCGUGCUUCUUCUCUGCCCUUGGAGAUUGGGCUCUUUUCUCUUUUGUUUUCUUACUAACAAUAGAUUUCCAGUGAAGAGGAGUUUUCACACCUCUUCAUUUGGCAACCACGGCUUCUGAAUUCCCCUUCAGGUUCACAAAUUCUUCCAUUUUUUUUCUCCCUUCUCUGUGCGCAGAUAGCAAGAACGAUCCAGAAAUCUACCCAUCUCGCUCAAAUUCGCCCAAAUUACGCCCUAAUUCGUACAUUCACCCAAAUUCAACACGCAAAUGCCACUGCCACCAUGGAUCAACGGCGUCCAAGCGGUUGCUGCCCAACGCAGUAAAGACAGACACUUUCCAGAGGAGAUCUUUGAAGAAUCUGCAAGCUCUCUCUCAAGAUCUCCAAGUCCAAUCACCGACGGAGAACACCAACGACUCUCUUUGACAAGAAACUCCAAUCUACCAGCACCUUCAUCAGCGAACGCCCUCAGCAGCUUCAUUGGCAAACUCCAUCUCCGAGCACAAGACCACCCACUCCAAGCUCGAGACAUCAACCAGCGCCCUCGACACAAACCGACACCACUACCGAAACGAACCCAUCUUCCGUGCAGUCGUCGACCCAGCAAUCCUAGCGUUCCGACAGAAUUCCAAUUCCUGCACCCACUCCAAAUACCGAAGCACAUCCUCAAAACCUACACCAACGACGAACCCAUCACUCUGUUACCCGGUAUCGGACAACUUGUUGAGGGACAACUUCACAACGCACCACUGAUUUUUCAACAACCCUUCCGACAAAGUCAGCAGCUCAGCACUGAAACAACAGUCCGAACUCGGUUCGAAAUCAACACGUUCGCUGCAACAACUCUCGCCAAUCACGCCAUCGCCCAAUCCAGACUCGAACAACUCGACGACAUUAUCGAAGAAAUCAUUCCAGACAAACCCGAAUAUCCGAAACUCUUCAUUGAACUCCAUCUCGGCACCAACAAGUGGAAGACCAGUUUGCAUACUGCACCAGCACACUCGAACCAACACAACUCGGCUGAACACAACCCAACCCAACACGCACCACCGUCGAUAUUUGCACUGAAAAGAAAGAACAAGCUCACAACGACUUUAUCGAGAAUUGGCCCACCGACAGUCUUCCCGAAGUUCUGCCCAAACUGCAUGAUUGACUGCAGACACGAAUCUGACACCAACAACCAGUAGAAGAAUGCAUGUAUCCAAAACCACAAAGAACAUCCAGCAAGUUGGAAGAAGACCGACAACGGCUUAUCCGACAUUUAGAUAGAGAUUUGAAGAACUUAGAAACAAAGAGAAAGAAAGACCAAGAGAAGUUGAAUCAAGUUGUUAGACCCUCCAAGAGAGAGAAUUACAUCUGACACGAAUUAUUACCGCGAGCUAACUCCGACGAACUAGUAUCGGACAUCCGCGAAGAAUACGACAACUACACAACACCACCGGACACACCACCGGCAGCACCCUCGACGGCACCCACCGAAGUGCCCGAGCCUGAAUCACCACCCUCGACGGCACCCACCAAAGUGCCCGAGCCCGACCGAACAUUCGAGUAGUCGACACAGACUACGCCCGAGCAACAAAACAUUUUUCAAGCAGCAUACAACCACUUCAAAGGUACAUUCACCAACCCCAUCUACAGUGACGACGAACGACCAAGUUUCCCGCCCACCUUCACAGACUUCACCAGACCAGCACCAUUUUUGCCAUACCGACCAAUCGUCACAACAUCAAUAUAUCCCACAUUUGCUUCCAACAUCUACCGAAGCCCGCUAUCAGCAAGACCUUUCGAACACGCUUUUGACUUCAACACGCCGACGAGACAACAACUCGGCUUCACCAAUUACAGUCGCACUCCGAUAUACCCAGUCAACAGCAGUAAAGACGAACAACCCGAAUCGUCCAAUAGUCAAGCACUUGACGUCAACAACUCACACCGAACUGCCGAACAGCUACAAUCAUACAACAACAACGAGAUCGACGAACCAAUUGUCGACGACAAUAAUCUUCCACAACAACCAUAGUCACCACACAACUAUACAUUCGAAGAACUCUUUGACAAUUUAGAAGAACAACCACAACCAACACAACAUAACUCCGACAAGUACGUCGACAACAAGUUCAAGCACCAUCUUCCGAAAAUCAACACCGGCAAGCAACCCAACACCAACGACGACGUCGACGACACACCCGAAAACAGUCCCAACAUAGAAGAACAAAUAGAGAAGAGUCCACUAAACAACAACAACAAUUCACCACCUUCCUCUUACACCAACUUUGCCGUCGACCCCGACAACCCCUUGCUACAAAUCACUUUAGCACUCCACAGUGACAACCUGACAAAACAACCUCGACAAUACCGACAUUACUACCAACAGCAAAUGGCAGUCACUACCGCCGUCGCCAACAUACUUGUCGGAAGACACGUCUCCUAUCCACUAUUUCAUGGUCUGAAGUCAGAAGACGCCAAGAAACAUGUUGAACAGUUCCAAGAAGCAAUCUGAAUCAAUGGCCAGACGACCGAACUUCCAUACUACUUCCGAUGUACCCUUCGAAAGAGAGCCAACGAAUGGGCUCAAACACUUCCUCAAAAUACAAGUUUCGACGACCUCGCACUCAAGCUCGUAGACCGAUGUGAGUCUUCCCUCACUCAAAGCCAACGACUUCACAAGAUCCAAAAACUCAAGCAGAAGUCUGGUCAAUCCAUCGACGACUACACUCAAACCUUCACUCGACAUGCCAGCAAAUGCAGCAACAGUGCCACCGAAACAUUACUUUACCAAUGGUACAUGCAAGGCCUCCGACGAUCCCUCCGAGAAGCGGCAACACACAUCAAGAGCCCUUCAAGAUGUUCAAGCUCGACAAAUGACAGCACAAGUAGAUGACACGGAUAACUCAGAUUCUGAUAGCAGUUCCAACAACGACUCCGAUGAUGAACUCGGAGAGAGCACCAAGUCAAAACUUCGGAAACUUACGAAAACAAUCGACAAGCUCAAGGGAAAAGCCAAGGCCGACAUCAAAGAAUUUCGAUCUGGAAUUUGGUGUACUAAGUGCAAGAACGAAGGACAUCCGGCAAGUGACUGCAAGCUCCAAAUCUCCAAAUGCCAGAUCUGUACCAAAGAAGGUCAUGACACCAAGACUUGCAGAUUUCAAAAUUCUCCAGAAGUUCGACAAGUCUUGAACUAUCCCCGACAGCAGUUUCGACAACCAUAUCCAAAUCAAUACUUCGACAAUUACCAGGCACAACCUCCGACAAACUGGAGACUGCCAAGAAACAACUUCCAACACCAGAGUCGACAAUGGAAUGAUCAACCUCGCUAUAACAACUAUAACAAUUACAACAACGACUACAACAACAACAACAACAAUCGACAACACCCGCCGAACCGGAACUACCCAGCAAACCAAGACAACUACAACCAAGGAUACCAACAAUACCCAAGAUACCAAGGCCAAGGUUAUCAAGACCAGGCCUACCAAGGCAACUACAACAACCGACCAUGGCAACCUCGACUUCAAAACCAAGGCGGUCCGCCGAGACUUGGUCCACCGCCUCCUCGACAACAAGAUCAGAACCAGCAGCAACCACCAACAACAAGGAUGGUCGAGACUGAUGAACUACCUUAUGCCGACAAUGACGACUCAGAUCCUCAAGUCAUGGCAGUACAAACCCAAGCACAAAUUCGAGCAGAAAAACAACAACAACCGGAUAGAGAUUCCGGAGAUAGUGAAGAGAAAGGCCCUGAGAGCCCGACAAAACUUCGAGAAUGGAAAAAGAAGCAGAAGUUAGCUGCUAAGAUAUAGCAGCAACUGGCUCUACAACCACCCGAAUUAGUGAUUUUAGACUUCGACAAUGAAGCUCAACCAUCACCAGCUCGACAACAAUGCCAAGACUCAAUACUAGAAAACGGACAGACAAAUCAUCCAACAUGAACACCGACACCAGAACACAAUUCGGCAAACUUUGACAAAAUCCAAGCAGUCGCAGAGACUAUCCUCAACCAAAAUAUUCAGAUCACCAUCGGCCAACUGCUGAAGAUUGCACCCUACCUCACCAAACAGCUCACCGAUCUGACAUCUGCACCGACCAACACUUUGAUAGACUCGCCCACACUCAACUCGACACAGACAGCUGUUGACACAUUUCGAACCGAGAUUCAACCAGGCGAUUGUGACAAUGAUGUUCCGACAAUCGACCUACGACUCGACAAACAUCUUGUUCGAGGAGCCAUAAUUGAUGGCGGCUCCAGCGUUAAUAUUAUUGAAGAAAGUCUUGUUCAACAACUCAACAUCGGCCCAGUUCACCCAGCACCUUUCAAUGUCCGAAUGGCCGACCACCGAUCUGUUCAACCCAAAGGCAUCAUCCGAAAAGUCAACACCACCAUUCAAGGCGUCGAAAUACCAGUCAACUAUGGUGUCCUCAAACUACCGGAGCAGACUGAUGGAUACUCGAUUCUCCUCGGUCGACCUUGGCUCCGAACUGCCCAAGUUUAUCAAGAUUGGCCCAAUGACAAUCUUAUCCUUCGAGGACCGGACGGACCGACAACCGUGUCGACAACAGCGAUCAAAUCGCUGUCCAGCCACAACCGACCUAUUUACUUGGAAGAAUAUAAUCUCGAAGAUGGCCUCGACGACUAUGAAGAACAACAAAUUCUCAAAGCCUACCCCGAUCUCGAACCUUUGGCUGAGAUCGACCUCUUCCGAAUUGUCGCCGACUUCCAACGAGAACGACCCCCGAUUACAUCAGCACUGAAAAAUCCAGUCACUCGAGAUACAAAACUCGAAGCACCACCGGCAUUCACAGUCGACAACCACAACAAAGUUGCCUACAUUCCAUCAAUUCCAGCAGACCAAAAACUUGAAAAAGUCAGCCUUGCCGACGACGGCAACGAACACUAUAUUGUACUCGCCACUGACAUCUCGGCAAGUUUUCGAGACAAAGGCAUCAAUCUUCUCCGAAAGAAGAAACACUUGUUCGCUUGGAGUUAUCGAGACCUUAAGGGAAUUUCGCCAAAACUCAGCCUUCACACCAUCACCUUUCUUCCAGACUCAAAACCAAGAAGACAAGCAGCCUACCGGAUGAAUCCGAAUCUGAUGGAACAAGUAAAGAAAGAACUCGACAAGCUUCUCCAAGUUGAGUACAUCUACCCGAUUCAGAAUCUGAUAUGGCUUUCACCACUAGUGGUUGUGCCCAAGAAAAAUGGCAAACUUCGAAUCUGCGUCAACUAUAAACAUCUCAAUGACGCCACCGAAAAAGAUGUCUUCCCAAUACCAUUUACCGACGAAGUUCUUGACGCAGUCGCCGGACACGAGAUGUAUUCCUUCCUCGAUGGUUUCUCCGGCUACAACCAAAUUCACAUCGCCGAAGAAGAUCAGCACAAGACAGCAUUCAUCAGUCCAUGGGGAGCCUAUGCUUAUCGACGAAUGCCUUUUGGACUCUACAACGCCCCAUUCACCUUCCAAAGGCUUGUUACCAACACUUUCUGAGACUACCUCACUGACUUCAUGAGAGUCUUCAUGGACGACUUCAGCGUUUUCAGCUUGGAAGAUCAACAUCUUGAAUGCCUGGAGAAAUGCCUCAACAAGUGCGAGGAGAACAACAUAGCACUCAACCCCGACAAAUGCGCUUUCUUCGUCAAAUCUGGAGUACUUUUCGGCCACGUUGUCUGCAAAGACGGCAUUCUCAUCAACAAGGACAAAGUCGACGUCAUCUCCAAACUUGAACCGCCGAAGAACCAGAAAGAACUUCGGCGCUUCCUCGGCAAAGUCAGAUAUCACCAACGAUUCAUCCACAAGUACGCUCACAUUGCCAAACCACUCACCGAUGGACUAAAACAAGAUGCCCAAUGGACAUGGACGUCCGAACAGCAACAAGCAUUCAACAAUCUCCGACUCAAACUAACAACAGCACCGAUCCUUGCCAAGCCCAACUGGACACAAGAGUUCCACAUUCAUGUCGACACUUCCGACGUAGCCACUGGUGCAAUUCUGAGCCAAACUCAACACGACAACCGAGAUCAGCCGAUCUACUACGCCAGCCGACUACUCAACCCAGCUGAACGAAAUUACACCACCACCGAGAAAGAAGCUCUCAUGAUCUACUCACUUCAGAAGUUCCGACACUACAUACUAUCAACCAAAGUCGUAAUUUUCGUCGACCACAAGGCACUCCUUUACCUCAUCAACAAACCGAUAUUAUCUGGUCGAAUAUCAAGAUGGUUCCUUUUACUACAAGAAUACAACUUUGAGAUCGUCCACAAACCCGGCAAAAAUCACGAACAAGCAGAUUAUCUCAGCCGGAUCACCACCGGCGACAAACCCGAAAGACUUACUGAUGACUUACCCGACUCAAACCUAUUCUGAGUUUCAAUACCAGCAACCUGGCUCGACGACGUCUUCAGUUACCUGAACUCAGCAAAAGUUCCAGAUCAGUACACUACGUCUGACCAAAAGAAGACUUUUGUUGCUAAAACCCGACAAUACUCAGUCAUCGGAGGCACUCUCUACAAACUAGGAAUUGACAACAUUCUUCACCGAUGCAUCAAACCACAAAGCACAACUCAAAUCAUCAAGGAAGCUCACGAUGGACCUUCCGGCGGACACUUUGCCGCUGACACCACAGCUCGGAAGAUUCUUCAAGCCGGCCUCUGGUGGCCGACACUCUGGCAUGACACUGAAGAAUUCUGCAAACACUGUGACACAUGUCAAAGACACCGAUUACCGCCAAAAACUCAGACUCAACAACUCAACCCAACAUUCCCAAUGGCACCAUUUCAGAAAUGGGGACUCGACUUCGUCGGACCCCAAAUCAGCACCCGUCGACGAAAUCAGUACAUCAUCGUCGCCACCGAUUACACUACCAAGUGGGCCGAAGCAAUACCUCUCCAACAUGCCACAGCGAAAGCAACAGCAACCUUAAUCUACGAAAAUAUCAUCACUUGUUUCAGCACACCACUCGAACUCGUCACCGACAGAGGCACCCACUUCAUCAACCAAAAAAUCGAACAUCUCGCCACCGAGUUCAAAAUCCGACACAAAACGUCGACACCAUACUAUCCUCAAGGCAAUGGUCAAGCAGAAGCAACGAACAAAACACUGAAGACCAUCCUCAAAAAAGUCAUCAACGAUUCCGGCAAAGACUGGGAUGACAAACUUCUCGACGUACUUUGGGCCUUUUGCACUGCGUAUAAAGUCACCACUGACAUGACGCCAUUCAAACUCGCCUUUGGAACAGAAGCCAUCACACCAAUUGAAUUCAUCGUCCCAAGCAUGCGAGUCACCGUCAAAUAUAAUCUCGACACCCGACAUGCAGUUCGAGAAAGGCUUCAGCAACUCGAACAUCUCGACGAACUCCGACUCAACGCCCUCUGGACACUUCAUGCCAUCCAAAAACAGAGAAAAGCUCGGCACGACCGACAAGCAUCCCGGCAUAACAUUCCCAAAUACAGCGUCGACGACCAUGUUCUCUGGUACCGAGGACCCAUCGGCAAACUUGGCCGAAAACUCCACACCAACUGGCAAGGACCUUUCAAAAUCAUUGAACUAUACCCCAAUGGCACUGCCAAAGUCAGCACACUCGCUGAAGAAUUCACUGAGAUCGUCAACCUCAACAAGCUUCGACCAUAUCACGUCAACAUAUUCAGCAUCAGCACCUCAGCAAAUUUCAGACCCAAACCGACAAACACCCCAAAACCAACAAUCAACACUCACCCCAGCAGACAAACUUUAACUCAAAUCAGUUCGACACAACUCAACUCAACUCAACACGAACUCAUCCACCAACUUCACCAACAAACAGCAGCAAAAAUUUCUAAGUCCCAAGCUACCGUUGGAUCAAUGCCACCUGAGCAAAUAUCAACAGUUGAACUUGAGUUAACUUCAUCACCAAUAUCCACCAUUGAUUUGCAAUCAAGCCAAAUCAAACCACAUCAUUUCCGUCAACAAAUCUCGACUGUUCAUCACCAGCAAUCGAGCGCUGCACGAUCAGCCAACCAACAGUUACAGGUUUCAAGAACCCUAACGGGGCGAGCACUUCGAUCGCAGAAAAUGAAGAGAAAGAUGCCAGCUCAUCCACCCCGGCGCCUCAGAUACGUCAUACACCAUAUUCCUAAGCUUCCCAGCAACGACACAACCACCUGGCUCAAGGAACACGGAUUCGAGCUCCUCCACAAGGCCUUUUCAACACACCCUGAUCAAAAACUAGCGAGGAAACUGGCCACCUCCUUCAACCCCAAGAACAGCACCAUAACCGAUGGCACCAACGAGAUCACCCUCAGCCCAGCAAGAAUCGCCUCUGUUUUCAAAAUCUCCAACAAGGGACUGCUCAAAUUUCAGGAGAAGUUCCACAGCAAAUCAUCAAGGCCAAUUGAGAAAUUACCGGUGAGCUCACAUGGGAGGACAUCGAGGAGCAGCAUAUGGAUCGCCUCAAAGCCCUCCUCCUCUACGCCCAACAGAUCGCACCAUCAGCAAGCGCACAGCAGAAGUCUACGGAGCUCUACUCGACGGCAAACGUGUGAACGUGGCACAUCAUCUCCACGAGCUCCUUCUCAAGCUUCUCGACCGCGCCAUCCUCGCCACACUCAACAAGAAGACCAUGCGGACAGUAAUCUUCCCACUGCUGAUCGCUUUACACCAAGCUCUUCCCAACAAGCAACCGUGGACAACCCAAACGAACUCCACAGAACAAAGCGACAGCUCCGAAGAACACUCAGAAUCAGAAGGAGCAACUCCCAGCAAGAAACUGAAGCCAGCAUCUCAACAAUCAGGCUCAACUCACUCCAACAACACCAGCUCCAGCAACAAACACUCCAACAAUUCAACUCCACUUCGCCGCCGCUUCACACGCAAAACACCAGUGAAUCCAGCUCCCAAACCACUGAUCUGAGAGCACCUCAUCAUCAGCGACAAUGAAGACAACUCACACCACCAUCCACACUCACCCCAGAGCCCGCAUCCACUCGAAUCACCCCCAAAACCAACAACUUCUCACAAACAUGUCAACAUCGCCAAAGAAAAAUGUCAGCUGCUCGCCCAGAACUCAAUUUCUCCACCAGCUGAGAACAACAUUCUCAACGCCCCGACCUCCUCGACACGUUCCACAAAAGAAAACAUUGACUACCUUCGCCAAUCACUUGAAGAACACGCAACCAUGCCUCCUCCAGCAAAUACCACGACCAGCAUUCACAAAAAUUCCGCCCCUUCAACAAAAUUUCAAGCGAAAAAUUUCUCAACGGAUAAAUUAAUUUCAGCGCCACAUCUGGGCCGUUCAUCCACCAUCAAACUGAAAAGCUCAUCUCCAACCACCUCAAAGAAUCUGGCCCGACCACGUCACCCACAUCCGACGAAGCAGAUUCAGCCUCCAGCAACUUCAACUCCCGGGACCAAGAACACAGCGAACCCUAGCGAGAAACACCAGGAUCACGGAGCAGGAGCAGGAGCAGCAGCCAUGCCUCAGCCACAGAGUUAGGUACGCCGUGAUUAUGACGAGAUCAGGAAGGAGUACGAAGAUAAACUUCGCGACCCAAGCUAUUGCACCCGCAAGUUGUUUGAAGCCCUCGAUCAACACAUGCACCGCAAGCAAGCAAACUACUUCCCAACACCAGCCGACAUUGCACAGCAUCUUCUCAAGCAAGACUCCUUCAUAUACACCCGGGGAGCGAUCAAGAAGGAAUUCUAUGAGCCUUUAAACCACCGGCUGGAUACUCAAAUUGAAGAGAUGAAGCAGAUCCGCACUGACCUCCGGGACAUCAGGAAGAUCGUCUCCAAGCAGCCAUCAACCCCAUCAGCAGCUCACGAAUUCACCUACAAAUUCAAAUACGAAGAGCUCAACACCCGCUACCGAAAACUCGAGGAUGAUCAUACUGCCCUACUGGCUGAGGUAGCCGACCUCUAGGAAGAUGGGACAGAUCCACCAGACAGCAUCCCUAACCACGAGCUUACACUCCCACAGCAAAAAUGUCGCCUCUAUCGACUUGAACAGCAGCAGCAACAAGCGAUGGAAACUGACUAUGUUCGCACCGAGGAUGGUGUCUAGUUCUGUCAGGGGAGCAGAAUGUAGCAACCAAAAACCCAGGUUCAGGGGACUCCGACUUUGAACCUAGGGCUGCAUCGGAGCCAUAGAUUAAAUCAUGCACAGCAUAUAGUAUAUGCUAGCAGUUAGAACCGCUAGCCUUUCAAAAGGGGGAAUCCGAAUUGUGGAUCCCUAUCUCCAUUCCAUCGUUUUUUUUAUCAAUACACAGCAUUCUUUUACUCGUGCUUCUUCUCUGCCCUUGGAGAUCGGGCUCUUUUCUCUUUUGUUUUCUUACUAACAAUAGAUUUCCAGCGAAGAGGAGUUUUCACACUUCUUCAUUCACCCUCAACCAUCUGUCCUCCAACAGUUUGGAAGCCCAUUCCUCGCGAAUGCGAAUGCGCAGUCUCUAGAUCCGGCUGCUGUAGUUGGCCUCCAAACUGCUGAGAAUCGCAUCUUGAUUCUCCUUGAGAGGAUGAAGGUCACGUGAGGAAAGGCUUCCAUUCUGCUUACAAAAAUCAGUGUCAAUAUCAAGACGAACAUGUUGAAAAAACCACAGGUAACAAGGAGAAACUCGCAUCUUGAUACUCGUUGAGAGGAAAAAUGUCAUUCUGCUUAAGAAAAUCAGUGUUAAUAUCAAUGUUGAAAAAACCACUCACCUUUUCCCAAGGUAACAAGGAGAAACUUUCAAGCUUGCAAUAUGGGCUCUUCAGCAGCUGGCCCAUGAGCUGCGUGGAAGAUAAAUCAAAUUUCAAUGCUGUUAACUCCAGGAACCAGAAUUUGGACUUCGCAUUGUCGUUUAUGCAAUCUUCCAGCAGGGAGAUCUCCGCAAGGCUGGGCUCAUUUGAAAUUCCAAGGCCCUCUAUUGCUCCAAAGAUUUGGCUGAGUAGCCUACUCGCCUGAUCAUUUGGGAUGUCGACCAGCGUAAGCUUCCGUAAACUUGUUCCAGCCUGGAAGAGGGCAGGGGUCAAGUAUUCAUUCUGAUUGAGGGACAGCUCCCAGAUCUUGCAGGCUGCAUCUUGCAGCAGCUUCUCCAGGUUGGGUGAGCAAUGGCAAUUAUAAAGCUCCAGACGUUCUAAAUACUUCGCAAGUGUUGAUCCUGCUAAAGCAUCUAAGUCUACAGCACAGGAAUCUAGAAAAAGCGUCUUGAGCUUGAUUGGCAUCCCCUUGUGCUUGGCAGCAGCAAUAGCAUCAUCCAAGCUGCGAAUCACCUCCUCGCCAAAUUUGUUUCCAAUAAUAGCAAGGCUGCUUAGCUUGGACACAGUUGCAUCUAGAAACCCCUCCACUUUGUGGUAGCCCUCCCUUCACACGAUUACGUGCUCCAGAGUGUUGUCCUCCAGCAGCAGCAGCUCGCGCAAGCCUUCGAAGUCUUCUGAAUCGAAGUUUGCUGCUCUGUGUCUCUGUUCCUUCAGUUCCCUCACACUCGACACCCUAUGGCUCUCCAUCUUAGAGAAAAUGCUUCCCAAAUCCUUGUAAUCAUCUAUCCGGGCCUGCUUUGGCUCCCCCAUGACUUCCAAUGGAAUACCAUCAGAAAUUACAACAAAUGUCGUUGAUGAAUCAACAUCCAAAUGACAACUUGGAAGUCGCUAGAAAAGAUGAAUCAGUGGCUUGGCAUGCUUCUUGGCUUUAAACAUGAAAUCAGAUACCUACGGUGCACGUCGUACAAAGUGGCAUCAAUCAUGCUAAAUCUUUUUCUUUUUCUUUUUCUUUUGCUUUGUAAAGGUAAUUGUUUUUGUAGGCAAUUAGCAAAGCACAUGCGUUAGACAAGCUGUACAAGUUUCGUAGGUAGCUUCUGAAGAGAAGAAUGCCAAGCAGCAGCUCGUUCUCUCACUUGGAGCGUCUAACAACGAUUUACUUACAUGCUCUCAAAUUCUCGAUCUUGAAUGGAUUUUAGUCCGCAAAAAUGCGACUCCUAUAUAUUUACAUGGAGAAAAUGAUUUAGGGGAAACAGAGUAUGUCAUUUAACUAGAAAACUAACAAGAUCUUCCAAGAAAGAAGAAAAAGAAUAAAAAAGAAGACCCACAGGGAUAUCACAUCCACGGGCGUUGGGUCGUUCUUCCAUCUUGCCGGAAGAAAGAAAAAAAGAAAAGAAAAGAGGAUUAAAGCAAGAUCCGGAGAGACAAACCUGAUCAUGCAGUCGGAUGAGGAUGGAGCCCCAGCCGUGGGCGAAAACGAGCAGCGGCACCGGAUUCAGGCGCGGUCGCUUUGUAUGGAUGGUUUCGAGCUCAUCCACAGCGGCCUAAACAACUUUUUGGUGGAGGGAUUUGUUUAGAGUUCUUUUGCGGUACGGGGGGCUGGCUUUCAUGGCAGCGACUUGGGAGGUACAUUUCUUGGAAGAGCUUGCUUGGAUUUGGAUCGAACACGUAAUUUAUGGCGUGCAAUUCGUAAAAGGGUGAGUGUUACUGCAGUAGAUUUCACUCACAAUACAAUGUCCAUGUGGCAGUUUUCUAUUGGUUUAGCAUUAAAUGUCAUCUGGAUGCCUCAUGGAUACCCCAUGGAUGCUGGCCCAAUGAGUCGAUGAUGUCCUUAUGCCACAAAUCAUUAAGUUUGAGUGAUGGAAUCGCUCCAGAACACUGGAAUCCGGAGCUGUGAUCGCGGCUAUUGCUAUCAAUCCCUAGCAGCACCGCAGCUCUCCAUACCACCCGAAAUAUCCCCUACACCAUAGCCAAGAACAGAUUCUACAGAGCAUAGAAUAAUAGAGCACUAAAGUAGGGCACUAAGGCAAGGAAGCGUACUUGUCAUCGCCUUCUCCCCUGCGUUGCCAUCCAGCUCGUCCCCGGCAGCUCCAGCUUGGUGACCUCCAUCCUCAAGAAUUGCAAGGAAGUAAGAGGAUUCAACUAUUGCCUAGACGCUGUGGCGGGUAACAAUGGGAGCAUUGAUGAUUGCGAGCAGCACAGUGGCGGUCGGCAAUGCGGGGAGGACACGGCGAUGGCCGUUGAUGACGAUCAAGGCUGCCACACUCCCAAAUUCUAGAUGGAGUUAGAUGGAGUAUGCUUGCUAUGACAUUAUGUUAAAAGAGGUGUGCCAAAAAAGGAUAAUUCAAUUCUUUUGCCAUGAGCCCCAAGAGCAAGAUGUGAAAACAUAGUGCUCUAGAUAAAGUAGUAUGAUAUGCAAUUUAGUCGAUUGUCCAUUUGGUUUGCAACAUUAACAACUUGCUAGAAUGCAUGGGAUGAAUGGGUUUAUGGGCCAUGAAUGGCUCCAUUCCAUACAUAGCAUGGGUCAUUGCUAUGGGCAUGAUGCCCCAUCCGGGGUAUAAGGAUUGGAUAUUCGUAAAAUAUUCUAUGCUUGUGUUUUUUUCACACUCAUAUUACACGUGGACCAAUAACAGGCAUACACGUGGUAUGAGUGAAAUCCACCGUUGUAAAAUCCACCCUUUUACGAAUUGCACGCCAUAUAAUUGUUAUUGACUUGAUUCUCUCGUGGUUUUCUUGCCUUUUUUUGGGUUUAGAACAUCCACGAUGAAGAACGGGGAUACGCAAAACAAGCAAAGAAAAGCGAGUAUAAUCGUUUCACAUGAAAUCAACGACUGUGGUAUUAUGUCAUAGGAGAAACGAAAAGAUCUUUCUGGAAAUUCUUUAGACCAUAUCCAUUAAAGGGCUUUUUUUUAUAUUGCUCGGUUUCUAGGGUUUAGCGAUGGCGCUCGGCCAUUUUAACACGAACCUGACAGAAGAAAACGUUUUAAGUACCUUCAAAUCCUCGUCGUCGAUAGACGAGAACUUUCUUUCCUCCUUUCAUAAAGAAUCGAGAAACAUAAAAUGCAAUAAUGAUUAGACCAACAAAGGGUAAUGUGGUGUAGGACUCGUGGCUCUGGAGUGGAGCGAAUGGUGCUCGCCGGUAAGCUCCAAAUGCGCUAGCUCUCUAAUGGAGUCAAGGUCUACAUUGCCACGGAUUCCAGGGACGUAGAGGGCGACGAUGGGGAAGUACUCUCUAUUGUUUGGGACCUUGACGACGGCAGGAAAUCUGAUGCGGCGCCGCCCUUGUCUAGAUUCUCCGAGGCGGCUGCUGCUGGAGAGGACGAAGCACAGCCGAUUGACACCGAUGUGCUUUCCAGCGGUGGUGGUGGUGCUCAAGACAAUUCCGGGAGCUGAGAUGAGGAGCAGCGGUACUAGCAGGAACUUUACGAGAAAGAGCUUGUGGAACUAGUGACGACGAUGGUCGUGCUCCAGACGAGCGCUCGGGGUCGGACUCGGACUAUGACGAUCGAUCGCCACCCCCGCAGCUACGUAGUAUUGAUAUGCUGCGAGGCUGCCGAAGCGUGGACGAGUUUGAGAGGCUUAACAAGAUCGACGAGGGGACUUACGGGGUCGUCUAUCAUGCUUGGGACAAGAAGAGUGGAGAGAUUGUGGUGCCCAAGAGAGUGAAGAUGGACCACGAGAGAGAAGGAUUCCCCAUGACUUCUCUACGGGAAAUCAACGUUCUUCUCUCGUUUCACCAUCCAUCGAUCGUGGAUGUCAAGGAAGUGGUGGUCUCAUGCCUUACAAAGCAAUGACUAGUGCUCUUUCAAUGCGUCAAGUAUCUGCACAACUGAUCAAGCUCUUUUCUGGAACUUAUGACAAAGAAAGAGCUCGGAUCACUAUUACCGCAGGUGCUGGCGGAACCGAUGUGCAGGUAACAUUGUGUGCUGAUAUCUUUUUAGAAGCUUUGAGAUUGUUUUACAUACAUUCCAGCACAGGGUGAGAUGCUUCUAAGGAUGUACCAGCGAUGGGCUACCAGGUCGGGGUUUAAGUCGACUGUGGUGGAGAGUUAGGAAGCUGAGAUCAAAUCGGCCACACUCGAGAUCGACAGGGGAGAGAAAGGCACACACAGGCUGGUACUGUGCGUGCCUUUCAACGCCAAAGCUCUACGACAGGUGAAGCAAACGUUAGUUUCAUCGAAACUCUUGUCUCAACGUUUGCUUCUCUUCACAGACGAGCUUUGCAGGAGUGGAAGUGACGGCUCUGCUGGAAGAGAACGAGAUCGAGGUGGAGUAACCCGAUGGCGACCUUGAGAUUACAACGUGUAGAUCUGGAGGCAAAGGCGGGCAGAACUUAAACAAGGUCGAGACUGCUGUUCGUGUCACGCACAUUCCAACCGGGAUUGCUCUUCGCUGCUCAGGUACAUGAAAUGAAGUAACCGCGCAGUGCUCUCAUCCAAGCUCCUGGUGAUUCUCGAGGAGCAAAGGGCAACCGAGAUCAAACCGGUUCUAGUGUUGGCUGUGGAAACACUGAACGGCAGGACUUUAAGCUGAAGUUUGAGACAGUGUUACAGGUAUUGACAGAUGCGUUGCUGUUUGUUGUGAAACUUUUUCUUCCUUCGCAGUGUAGGCUGGAAAGCAUUUUAAAACGAGGCAGGAGGAUUAUUAUCGUGGGGCACUUGAACAUUUCUCCAUAUCCUAUUGAUUCAUGUGACACUGACCAAAAAUUUGAUACCAAUACGUAAGUCACUCACUGAUUCAAGCCGCUCUAGUAGUUUUUAACAUGUUCAUUUUAACAGGAGCCGUCAAUGGUUUAGAUCAUUGCUGGUGAGCGAGGGUGGUGCGUUUUCAGACUCGUUUCGCGUGUUUCAUCCUGAAAUGUAACUCUUCACGGUUUUUGUCUGGCCAAAUCAUACCUGCUUAUAUGUAUCUUGUCAGCAGAGCCUUACACUUGCUGGUCUCAGGCAUCGGGUACGGAAGAGUUUAACUAUGGCAGUCGUAUUGAUCAUGUUCUUAUUGCCGGUCCCUGCGCUGGCCAUUGUCAGUGUCUUGAUGGAUCGCAUGACAAUAGUACCUGUGACGGAUUUGAAGGGUGUGGAACAGAAAUGGGUGACAUUUUUCUUGAGUUUAAGCGUGCAAAGCUGGACAUCCUUCUGUGUCCCUCGUCCAGAGCUCUUUUGGUGUUUCAAAUCAUCAGAACCAACCCUUCUUCAAUAAUGGUGAUCUUCACAGACCCAGCCACUUGGACUUUUGAGGAGUCCAAAACACUUCUUCAUCAUCAAGAUUCGGUCCUCGCCAUAUCGUUGAGGUGAAUUCUUUUUCACAUACUCAAACAACUCCACAAUGUCAUCUUUUGAUGCUGGUUGCAACCUGUUAUCGAGAUCGCCUUCAAAGCAGGAGUCGAUUGUAGCCUUCAAGCCAUUUGCACCAAGCUCAAUCAAGGUGCCGACCAGCUCCCCUCCCUCAGGCAAUGCCACUUUACCGAGCUUUGCGAGGGUGAAACACAUUGUGAUGCCUGGGACGAAGAUGUUGCUAUACUUUUUGAACCAUUGAUUUGGGAUAGUGAUUGGUACUCCUGGGUACUUCUUCAAAUCAACUGGGUGACAGCCGCUUGGAUGCUCACAUAAGUACCUAAUAUUUGCGCGUUUCCCAAUCAGUGGUGAAUAUUUUAGCAACAGAUUUGACUCCAUUGUAAGGUGAGGGAGUUUCGGACACUCCAGCUUAGUGGAUUCCAACAGUGAUGAGCAACUCUUGAUCAAUGCGUUUUCUGUGUCCUUUAGGCCCUUUUGCAGCUUCUGUAAAGAUCCUUUGAUAUUUGUUAUGGAGACUUUGAAGUCCUCCAUAUAUAUCUGAAUCCCUUGCAUUUGAUGCUUGUGUAAUUGGUAGCAAAAGUUGGCAAGCUUGCUCAUGUCAUCACUUUCAAACUUUGGGAUCUCGACUUGCACAAGCUGUUGCUGCUGGCUUUGAUACAGUGGCACUAUGUGCUGGUUGUAUUCUGUGACAACCUCUUCGACAGCACACUUACGUGGCUGAAUAAUCUCGUUGACUUCACUUGGCAUCAAGAGUUCCAAGACACUUGUGGAGUCACCAAAACCCCAGGUAAAGUGAUAAUCAAAGCCAUCCCUAGCUACCAUCUGUUUAACCUCUUGCAGUACCCAACAGCCCUUGCUGUUUUCAUCGCAUGAGCCCUGUUGUCCUGAUGCUUUCCCAAAUUGUCUUACCUUCACUGGAUUCAGAACAUGCUCUUCAAGCUUGAUGAAAGGACAGGCCCUGUUAGUUUCCUUGACUACACAAUCCCGUAUCUCCUUCAUGAACUGCUCCCCUUUGAGUCCCCUCUUUUCCUCCUUGGGCACCAUCAACAUAAUAUCCACCCAUUGCCGAUCUGUCCAAUGCUUAUAAUCCCCACCAAUAGUCACCAGAACUUGAAUGAGAUCCUCUUGGAAGGAAACCCAACCAGCACCAAUUUUACUUCCAUGGCCCCAUCUGUCACACAUCUCCUUCACCUUGGCUUGAAUAACUGCAAAUACUCCUGCUUUCAACCAACGAACACACAGACAUCAAUGUUUAAUCUCAGCAGUCAAGAGCAUAAUUACCUGAUGGGAGAAGAACGAAGCCCUUCAUAGUGUCGUCUGCUUGCAAUCUCCGACCCCAACAAUCAUAUGUUUGCUCGGUUUCAAUCCAUCCAGUGAACUCAUCAGGCAAUAAUGCAGGCACAAUCAGGUGUUCUGGCCGAUUUCGUGGCUCUGACCACCUUAUGUCCCAGCUCCUCAUGCCAUCAGGAAUCAAAACCCCCAUCUCACAGAGCAGCUUGAGCAGGAAAUAGAUGUUGCCCUCUGCAGUCUCUCCAAGUGUUUUGAGCUCUUGUACUGCUUUCACAGUAGACCACUUGGGUUCCCCCCACUUCAUCUUAUCGUUUCUCUCUUGCUUAGGAAUGAAAAUUCCUAACACAGUAUGGAGAAACCAUGGCAUGUCUAGAACUGCAUUGUUGACAAUCAAUGCAGCUUCCUUGUCGUUUGGAUCCGUGUUUUGAUAUGUGUCAUCUGCCCCAAAGUAGACAGCUUCUCCCAUAUCAUGUAGGCAGAUGAAUGUGUAUUGUGCAGCAAAUGCCUGAACUUCUUUCUCCCCCUGCAACCAAGCCUUGGACAUCUCAUGUAGGUCGACCACCCUCUGCUGGACAAUUGUUUGUGCCUGUUUGUGGAUAUGAUACCAUGGUGUGGAUGAACCCCGCCCUCUGAUAACCUCAUCACAAGUCCAGGGAAUCACAGGAAUUUCAUUUAUCAUUUCGCCCACUGCUAUCGCCAGCUUUGGCUUCAGUUCCUUCUGUACCUGACGAGCAUUCAACCCAUUCACCUCGAAAUAGUGAUCACCACGUUGGCCCUGAACAAAGUCUAGCCUGUCCUUAUACUUGGGUACCAGUGACGUCGCAGCUGCUCGAGCUUCUACCAAGAAACCGUGAUCACGAACAAAGAUGUUGAGUACUAAGAAAAUGGUGGGUUUCCUAGCUGGUGUUGCAGUUUGGUGGGCCGCUAUGAAGCGAAACCAGUAUUGGAGCUCUGUUUCCAAGUCUGUUUUCAUCUCACCUCCAGGACCUCCAACCUUGCACACCACCAUGAAGAGAUCUUUGUCGCUGCCCCUGAGGAAAUAGUGAUGAAAAGCGUGGUAGACCUCCUGGCCUCCCAGAUCGUAAAUCAGGAGUUUCUUCCUCUCACCAAAUCUGAGAGUCCUCCUCUCAAUUCCCACUGUUGAUGCAUGAUCCUGACGCGGCGGCGUCACGCACUGCUGGAGGGCGGCACAGGUGCGGACAAGAUUGGUGGAGAUGGUGGUCUUGCCCGAGGCAGUGUGGCCGCACAUGAACAGCUUGGCAGUUGAUGGUGUGACUGGAGCGCUUUUUGCAAGAACGGGGCUCUUCUGAAAUAGAGCAUUCCGGUACUUCACCCUCAACCAUCUGUCCUCCAAUAGUUUGGAAGCCCACUCCCCGUGAAUGCGCAGUCUCUGGAUCCGGCUGCUGUAGUUGGCCUCCAAAUUGCUGAGAAUCGCAUCUUGAUACUCCUUGAAAGGAAAAAUGUCAUCCUGCUUAGUGUCAAUACCAAAACCCCCAGGUAACAAGGAGAAACUUUCAAGCUUGCAAUAUGGGCUCUUCAGCAGCUGGCCCGCGAGCUGCACGAAAGAGAAAUCUAAUGAUGUGAACUCUAGGAACCAGAGCUUGGACUUGGCAUUGUUGUUUAUGCAAUCUUCCAGCAGGAAGAUCUCCGCACGGCUGGGCACAUGUGAAAUUCCAAGGCCUUCUAUUGAUCCGCAGAUUUGGCUGAGUAGCGCCUGAUCAUUUGGGAUGUCGACCAGCGUAAGCUUCCGUAGACUUGUUCCUGCCUGGAAGAGGGUGGGCGUCAAGUAUUUAUCGUUAUCCAGGGAGAGCUCCCAGAUCUUGCAGGCUGGAUCUUGCAGCAGCUUCUCCAGGUGGGGCGAGCAAUCGCAUCGUUUAAGCUCCAGACGUUCUAAAUACUUUGGAAGUGUUGAUCCUGCUAAAGCAUCUAAAUCUACGUCACAAGAAUCUAGAAGAAUCGUCUUGAGCUUGAUUGGCAUCCCCUUGUGCUUGGAAGCAGCAAUAGCUUCAUCCAAGCUGCGAAUCACCACCUCGUAAAAUUUGUCUCCAAAAAUGCCAAGGCUGCUGAGCUUGGACACAGCUGCUUCUAGAAACCCCCCCACUUUGUGGUAGCCCUCGCACCAGAGUCUUACGUGCUCCAGAGUGUUGUCCUCCUGCAGCAGCAGCUCGAGCAAGCCUUUGAAAACUGAAUGGAUGGUUGCUGCUCUGUAUCUCUGUUCCUUCAGCUCCCUCACACUCGACACCCCAUGGCUCCCCAUCUCAGAGGAAAUGCUUCCCAAAUCCUUGUAAUCGUCUAUCCGGGCCUGCUUUGGCUCCCCCAUAACGUCCAAUGGAAUACCUCAGCAAUUACAACAAAUGUCGUUGAUGAAUCAACAUCUAAAUGACAACUUGGAAGUGGCUAGCAAAGAUGAGUCAGUGGCUUGGCAUGCUGCUUGGUUUUAAACAUGAAAUCAGAUGCCAACUCUAACCUACGGUGCACGUCGUACAAAGUGACAUCAAUCAUGCCAAGUUUUUUUCUCUUUCUUUUGCAUUUGCUUUGUUUUUGUAAGCAAUUAGCAAAGCACAUGCGUUAGACAAGCUGUACAAGUUUUGUAUGUCGUCCGAUGCUUGAGCACAGGCCAGGUAGCUUUCGAAGAGAAGAUUGCCAAGUAGCAGGUCGUUCUCUCACUCAGAGCGUCUCCCGAGUCUAGAAUUUUACAAUAACAACGAUUUACUUACAUGCGCUCAAAUUCUCGAUCUUGAAUGGAUUUUAGUCGGCAAAAAUGCGCCUCCUGGAGAAAAUGAUUUAGGGGAAACAGAGUAUGUCAUUUAACUAGAAAACUAACAAGAUCUUCCAAGAAAGAAGAAAAAGAAUAAGAACAGGGAUAUCACAUCCACGGCGUUGCAUCGCCCAUCUUGCCGGAAGAAAGAAAAAAAGAAAAGAAAAGAGGAUUAAAGCAAGAUCCGGAGAGACAAACCUGAUCAUGCAAUCGGAUGAGUAUGGAACCCCAGCACCGUGCAGCGGCACCGGAUCCAGGCGCAGUCGCUUUGUUUGGAUGGUUUCGAGCUCAUCCACAGCAGGCUAGACAGCUUUUUGGUGCAGGGAUUUGUUUAGGGUAAUGGGCCCAGGGUUAAUAAAAUAAUGUAAGAAUUCAUUUAUUUAAAUAUAAUUUUUGUACGUAAAGGUAUAAUAUAAAAGUUUAUAUGAUUUACUGCUUAUAAACUAAUUUUUAGAAAAAGCUACUCACAAAAUCUUAAAAACCGCUCAUUACUAAAAAGUCUAAAUUUAUCCUAAGUCUGUCCAUUUAUGGCCCAAUAUCCAUCCGUUUAUGGCCCAAUUUUUUGUCCAUUGAUGGCCCUACCAUUCUAGAUUUGUUGCCGCAAAGAGGAGCGAAAGCAGUGUGGGAUAAUAACAUUUUCCAGGUAACUACAAGCAAGCCUAGAGAUAUUAAAGUGAAAACAAGCAAAUUUGUUAUUUUUGUUUUUGGUGUUUGCUUAGCAUUAAAGAUUCUAGGACUUCAUUCUUUCUCUUUCUUUUUUUUUUCUCAUUGCUUCCUUUUCUUUCUCCCUUUUUUUUUCAAGGCUUCCAAUUUUUUCUUCUCCAUCGCUUCAGUUUUUCUAGUUGCUGCUUCUUCCCUCUCUUUUUUUUUGAUGGCUGCUGCUUUUUUCUUUUUUAUUGUUGCUUCUUCUCUUUCCUUUUUCCUUGUAGCCCUUUCAAUUACUUCCAAUUUUUUUUGCUUCUCAUGUGCUUCUUUUGUAGUGGCAAUUGCUCCAACAACACUAGUGAAUUCUGGACUUGUUAAAACAGUUCUAGCACUAGCUUGCAACAUUGGUCCAAGUCAAGGACAACUUUGCACCCCUAGAAAUAAUUUUGCAUGCAGGUAUGCCACCUUAUUGUUUUUUGAUUGCUAUCCAAGCACAUUCAUGUGUUGCUCAUGCUGCUCAACUCGAUGCUCUAGCGAAGCUCUUGGGAAACAAAGUUGUAAGUGAAUGAGAAUUGAGAAGUGCUUUUUACCUAGCUGCUCAAGUUGUCUAAGAAGUUUAGGAUGCUCAAGCUGGUCACGAUCAUUACUUGCUUACUGCUCAGGCUACACUGGAUGUUGUAGAUGGACCUCAGCCUGCACUGGAUCCUCAUGCUAUUCAGGCUACACUAGAUCUUGCUGAAGUUCUAGUUCAUCAUUGAGGUGGCUGAGCUCCAAAGUGUUUUUGAAGUCUGUUUCAAAGCUGUCAAGAGAUACUUCACGGAGUGUACUUGGACCAAAGUGAGUGUCCAUAGCAUUCUUGUUUAACAGCCAUAAACCACUUGCUCUAAAACCAGAUUGGAUGUUUGCAGGUGUCAAAGCCAUAGACAUAGCUCUACUGGAUAACUGUGUAAGAUCUCGACGAUUGACUUUGUGUCCUAGAUGUCCAAGAGUGUGUUCAUCCACACACUGCCUGAAGUAACACUUGUAUGGCCCAAAACAUGCAAUGUUUAACGGCUGCAUGUGGUGAGAAGUAUGUGUUAGAAGAAGAAUCACAUUCACACUUAACAUUUUUGCUGUGUCAAGUGCAACCUUUGUAAUAUGGGAUCUGUGGCCAUCAACAAUGAGAGCAUGGCAGUUUGUAGGCAAGCAUCCACCAGGUACUAAUUUCACAAAGUGUUCAAGCCACUGUGGCCACAAAUUGUCUGUCAUAUAGGCUUUCUUGCUAAUGGUGAAGGCAGUUCCAACUUCACAAUCUGCGAUCCAAUUUUGCAUCUUCUGCUCACCUUUGAAGAUAUAAAAGCCAGGUAUUUGUCCACCUACUGCAUUUAUGGCCACUAGAACAGUCAUGUGCUUUGUGUUGUUUGGGAUGAUUCAGUAAUAGGAUCUUGCACCUCGAGCAGGUAACACUUUGACACUUCCAAAACGAUUAGCCUGAACGCCAGUUUCAUCAGCAUUCCAAAUGUGAUCUGCCUUAUAGUUGUUUCCAGUGUAAGUUGCUUCGAAGUUUUUGUAGAAUUAUGCCACUACUUGAUUCAAGGACUUUGCUCAUUGCAACUCCAAGGCCUCAGCAACUUUGCUACUGAUCUCUGGAUGUCUUUUCAUAAAACCUUUGCACCAUUUUUGACUUGGUCCUCCUUCUAUCUAGGUAGUUACUCUGCCAGCAACUAACAGCUUUGCUGCAUCUUUCAGUUGAUUGAAAGUGAGUGGAUAACCUAUUUCAGCUCAAACUUUCACCAGAGAUGGAAGAGACUCUUCUUCCGAUGAUGUAAGAAUGGUGGGAGGACCUGGUCAUCCUGUGCUAUGUCCCCUUAACUGAUCUCGCAAAGUCGUCCGAUGUAUGUUGAAUUCUUGAGCAGCUUUUCUUUCAGACAUGCCACACUCUUCCACCUCAUGCAUAGCCUUCUUUUUUGAUUCUUCAUUCCAUGUUCUAGUUGCAUGCUUAUGGCUAUGUGCUAUGGCUGGAGGCUGACUUACAAGACAUGGAUAAAUAGUAGAGAAGUCAGACAUUUCUUUUUCUUUUAACCUGACAAUCUUUACCUUUGCAGUGCCAAGACAUUGGCUUUCAGGUACACUUUCAGGGAUAGGAGCUGCCAAACUUCUUUGCACCACAGGCUGGAAGCAAGUCUAGUUAAAAAUCUAAAAUGGAAACAGAUAGUUACCUCUUGUUGCAAGGACAGCCCAGAAUGGGAUAGCCUCUGGGAGCUGUGAGUGUUUGCGCACGAGCUCUUGAAAGUUGUGUUCUUUUGCCGUAUAAUAUGUUGGUUUCUUGUUAUAGCAUUUUGACCAGGCAAGAAAAUGGUGUGCGAUGUGCUUCAUGUAUGCAUAUUGUGUUGGCUGAGCUUUGUAGUUGAUUGAAUAGUAAAUCUUGUGAUAGGAUCUAAGAAAUUAUUAAGAAAUGAAUGCUUUUCUUCUUCAAAAGAGUGGCAUACCUUAAGAUUUGAUGUGUUCUUUCCAACUUUUUCACUUUUUUUGCCCACUCCUGAGAUGAAAUGCAGCUUGAUGAAUAGUUGAACUCAACAAAUCCCUUAUUCCUACAGUUUUAUUAAGCUCUAUUAUAAACUCAGGAAUAUAGAUGAAAUAGAGCAAUGAAAUGCAUUCCUUUUCUUCAAAAUAAUUAGAUUUGUGAUUGAAAAAAGUGAUGAAUGCUUGGAUGACACUCAAAUCCGUCAUAACCUAGGAUGCCAUAAAACCCGCCAAAUAAUUGCCACAUAAUUUUCUAUUUAUCACAUCGACAAGGUUUGGGCCAAAGGUGGCCGGAAUUAAGGACCCGGGCGAGAAUUGGGCCUGUUACCCUAGAGUUUUUUUGCAGUACAGGGGAUUGGCUUUCAUGGCAGCGACUUGGGAGGUACAUUUCUUGUUUGCUUGGAUGGUUUAUCCACAGCGGCCUAGACAGCUUUUUGGUGGAGGGAUUUGUUUAGGGUUUUUUUGCGGUAUGGGGGACUGGCUUUCAUGGCAGCGACUUGGGAAGUACAUUUCUUGGAAGCUUGCUUGGAUUUGGAUCUAACACGUCAAUCUUAUUGACUUGAUUCUCUCGUGGUUUUCUUGCUUUUUUUUUUUUGGUUUAGAACAUCCGUGACGAAGAAGAACGGGGAUACGGAAAACAAAGAAGCAAAGAAAAGCGAGUAUAUUCGUUUCACGUGAAAUUGGUACUAUGCCGUAGGAGAAACGAAAAGAUCUUUCUGGAAAUUCUUUAGACCAUAUCCAUUAAAGGGCUCUUUAUGAGAUUUGGAGGGGGUUUAGCGAUGACGCUCUCUCGAUAGGGUGAGCGAUCGCGGCACAGGGAAGAGGUUCGCUCUUCCAUUUUAACACGAACCCGAUAGAAGAAAACGUUUUAAGUGCCUUCAAAUCCUCGUCGUCGAAAUCAUCGAGUGGUACUAAGAAACGAAAUGAUCUUUCUGAAAUUCUUUAAACCAUAUCCAUUAAAGGGCUUUUUUUUAUAUUGCUCGAGGUUUCUAGGGUUUAGCGAUGGAAGUACCUUCAAAUCCUCGUCGUCGAUAGACGAGAACUUUCUUUCCUCCUUUCAUAAAGAAUCAAGAAACAUAAAAUGCAAUAGUGAAUAGACCAACAAAGGGUAAUAGAGCGAAUGGCGCUCGCCGGUGAGCUCCAAAUGCGCUAGCUCUCAUGCUCCCGCCCGAGCGAGCUAAUGGACUCAGGGCCUACAUUGCCACGGAUUCCAGGGACUUAGAGGGCGACGAUGGGGAAGUACUCUCCCAUUGUUUGGGACCUUGACGACGGCAGGAAAUCUGAUGCAGCGCCGCCCUUGUCUAUACUCCGAGGCGGCUGCUGCUGGAGAGGAUGAAACACAGCCGAUUGACACCGAUGUGCUUUCCAGCGGUGGUGGUGACAAGACAAUUCCGGGAGCCGAGAUGAGGAGCAGCGGUAUGAGCAGGAACUUUACGAGAAAGAGCUUGUGAAACUCAGCGAUGACGAUGGUAGUGCUCCAGACGAGCGCUUGGGGUCGGACUUGGACUAUGACGAUCGAUCGCCACCCCCACAGCUACGUAGUAUUGAUAUGCUGCGAGGCUGCCGGAGCGUGGACGAGUUUGAGAGGCUUAACAAGAUCGACGAGGGGACUUAUGGAGUCCUCUAUCGUGCUCGGGACAAGAAGAGUGGAGAGAUUGUGGCGCUCAAGAGAGUGAAGAUGGUCCACGAGAGAGAUGGAUUCCCCAUGACUUCUCGGAAAUCAACGUUCUUCUCUCGUUUCACCAUCCAUCGAUCGUGGAUGUCAAGGAAGUGGUGGUCUCAUGCCUUACAAAGAAAUGACCAGUGCUCUUUCAAUGCGUCAAGUAUCUGCACGACGACUGAUCAAGCUCUUUUAUGGAACUUAAUGACAAAGAAGGAGCUCGGAUCACUAUUACCGCAGGCGCUGGCGGAACCGAUGUGCAGGUAACAUCGUGUGCUGAUAUCUUUUUAGAAGCUUUGAGAUUGUUUUACAUACAUUCCAGCACAGGGUGAGAUGCUUCUAAGGAUGUACCAGCGAUGGGCUACCAGGUCGGGGUUUAAGUCGACUGUGGUGGAGAGUUAGGAAGCUGGGAUCAAAUCGGCCACACUCGAGAUCGACAGGGGAGAGAAAGGCACGCACAGGCUGGUACUGUGUGCGUGCCUUUCAACGCCAAAGCUUUACAACAGGUGAAGCAAACGUUAGUUUCUCGAAACUCUUGUCUCAACGUUUGCUUCUCUUCACAGACGAGCUUUGCAGGAGUGGAAGUGAUGCCUCUGCUGGAAGAGAACGAGAUCGAGGUGGAGUAACCCGAUGGCGACUAUUGAGAUUACAACGUGUAGAUCUGGAGGCAAAGGCGGGAACGUAAACAAGGUCGAGACUGCUGUUCGUGUCACGCACAUUCCAACCGGGAUUGCUCUUCGCUGCUCAGGUACAUGAAAUGAAGUAACCGCGCAGUGCUCUCUAAAAGUUUCUUCGUGUAUCUAGAGGAAAGAAGCCAACUCCAAAACAAGAUAAAAGCAAUCGCGCUGCUCAAAUCCAAGCUCCUGGUGAUUCUCGAGGAGCAAAGGGCAACCGAGAUCCAAGAGAUUUGAGGGGACGUUUGGUAUGGAGCUUCCUCGCUUUCAUUUGCACUGAUUGUUCUUUUCUGUUUGUUGAUGGAUUCUUUCUACCUAAUACUCUUCAAUAUCUAUGGUCCUAGUGUUGGCUGUGGAAGCACUGAACGACAGGACUUUAAGCUGAAGUUUUAGAAAGUGUUACAGGUAUUGACAGAUGCGUUGCUGUUUGUUGUAAAACUUUUUCUUCCUUCGCAGUGUAGGAUUUUAAAACGAGGCAGGAGGAUUAUUAUCGUGGGGCACUUGAACAUUUCUCCAUAUCCUAUUGAUUCAUGUGACCCUGGUCCAAAAUUUGAUACCGAUCCGUAAGUCACUCACUGAUUCAAGCCGCUCUAGUAGUUUUUAACAUGUUCAUUUUAACAGGAGCCGUCAAUGGUUUAGAUCAUUGCUGGUGAGCGAGGGUGGUGCGUUUUCAGACUCGUUUCGCGUGUUUCAUCCUGAAAUGUAACUCUUCACGGUUUUGGUCUGGCCAAAUCAUACCUGCUUAUAUGUAUCUUGUCCAGAGCAGAGGCUUACACUUGCUGGUCUCAGGCAUCGGGUGCGGAGGAGUUUAACUAUGGCAGUCGUAUUGAUCAUGUUCUUAUUGCUGGUCCCUGCGCUGGCCAUUGUCAGUGUCCUGAUGGAUCGCAUGAAAAUAGUAGCUGUGACGGAUUUGCAGAGUGUGGAACAGAUAUGUGUGACAUUCUUCUCGAGUUUAAGCGUGCAAAGCUGGACACCCUUCCGAGGUACGCCAAAAAGACAGACUAGUUGUGGCCAGUGUUGAUGUUUCUCCAUGGCAGAUGGAGUGGUGGGAGAAGCUUAAAACUGGAUGGUUCAGAUCACGCUCCUGCUAUUCUGCGCUUAAGCAUUAUCUUCCAUUCCACCACAUGAAGCUCCACAACUGGCUGCUCGAUUUAUGCCUGAGCUUUGCGCUCCUCAGGAAAGUAUCAGUAAGUAACUUCUUAAAGCGAAGGACGUUUCUGACAACCGCUCGUGCUGACUGGUGCAGUUUCCAUUUUCAGAAAGCUCAACGAGAGAACAACAGCUAACACCGAGCCUGAUACAAGCCGAAAUGUUUCCAAGCCUGGUUUUACACAGGAAACGGGCAGCAGGAAACUACAGAGGCUGUCACAAAGCCGAUUGACAGGGUUUUGCUAUCAAAGCAUGAAUCUUCUGACAAAAUGAGCUGCACAGAGGUUGCAGUGCAUGGGCAGAGCUCCAGCCUUACGGAUGAAAUCCAGCAAUCAGCUGAAUCGUGCGACAAUAACAACUGCUCAGAGGUUGCACCUUGCGGGGAGAGUGCCAUUCUGAUGGAUAUGUCAGAUGAAACACCGACGGAAAGCUCUCAGCAAAGCUUGGAAAAAUUGGCAGCAGGCUGGGAACGACUGAAGAGCUUGAUGUCGCGAAAUCUUCUAUCGUGCAAGGGACAUGGUGAGACUUGUGUCGUGAGAACAGUUAAGAAGGCUGGUCCCAAUCUUGGCCGUGGUUUCUACGUCUGUACUCGAGCAAAGGUGAUCUUCCUUGAAAGAUUCUUCAUAUUUUAUUCGUUGUUUCCAACAGGGCCCAGCUUCCACUCACAAGCUCGGGAUCUGAGACUUGGAACGCCUUGGUAAUUACAUCGUCGCUCACGUCCGGCCUGGAAGCAAAGACCGCCUUUGCAACCUCGAAGUCCCCGGAUUCUGGCUGUUAAACGUGGCGAUCCCCACAGCUUCCUCCUUCCCAACGUUGAGCUGGAAGUGGACGACCCGAGGAAACAUGACCCGACACGAACAUGUUCCCGGCCUGGAUCACCCCUCCGUACGCAUAAGGGUCCUCUUCUGAUCCUGGAGCACAGGCCAGGAGGCUGGAGGAGAAGAAUGGCCAUUCAGCAGCUCACUGAGAAAUCUCUUUCCCUAGUCUAGAAUUUUCAAUGAGAAUUUUUUACUUGCAUGCUACGCUCAUGCGUGCACAGGGAGUAACUAAGGAACAGCUGAAUCGUAGGACUCCUGCGUUGCACCGUUUCUUUGUGGAAACUUUGAAGUGUCCGAUGGUGUGGAGAGAGGUCUUAAGGUUUGAUCUCUAAGUUCCCUAAUUAUAUGAGCUCUGGACAUACAAUAUAUGAACUACACCUUGUGGAUAAGCAUAUCGUCCCAAACAUUCUGCCAAGAACUUAGCUGCUUUCUUUUGUUUUUUUUCUUUGAAUAAAAAUUCCUUCACUUCACUGCUUCUGAAUUUUAGUAGUUUUACUAAGCCUGUGCCCUUCUUCUACAAUAAUAGUGAUCUUCACAGACCCAGCCACUUGGACUUUUGACGAGAUCAAAGCACUUCUUCAUCGGUCCUUGCCAUAUCGUUGAGGUGAAUUCUUUUUCACAUACUCAAACAACUCCACAAUGUCAUCUUUUGAUGCUGGUUGCAACCUGUUAUUGAGAUCGCCUUUAAAGCAGGAGUCAAUUGUAGCCUUCAAGCCAUUUGCACCAAGCUCAAUCAAGGUGCCGACCAGCUCCCCUCCCACAGGCAAUGCCACUUUACCGAGCUUUGCAAGGGUGAAACACAUUGUGAUGCCUGGGACGAAGAUGUUGCUAUACUUUUUGAACCAUUGAUUUGGGAUAGUGAUUGGUACUCCUGGGUACUUCUUCAAAUCAACUAGGUGACAGCCGCUUGGAUGCUCACAUAAGUAGCUAAUAUUUGCUCGUUUCCCAAUCAGUGGUGAAUAUUUAACAACAGAUUUGACUCCAUUGUAAGGUGAGGGAGUUUCGGACACUCCAGCUUAAUGGAUUCCAACAGUGAUGAGCAGCUCUUGAUCAAUGCGUUUUCUGUGUCGUUCAGAGCUUUUGUAAAGAUUCUUUGAUAUCUGUUAUGGAGACCUUAAAGUCCUCCAUAUAUAUCUGAAUCCCCUGCAUUUGAUGCUUCUGUAAUUGGUAGCAAAAGCUGGCAAGGUUGCCCAUGUCAUCACUUUCAAACUUUGGGAUCUCAACCUGCACAAGCUGGCUUUGAUACACUGGCACUAUGUGCUGGUUGUAUUCUGUGACAACCUCUUCAACAGCACGCUUACGUGGCUGAAUAAUCUCGUUGACUUCACUUGGCAUCAAGAGUUCCAAGACACUUGUGGAGUCACCAAAACCCAGGUAAAGUGAUAAUCAAAGCCAUCCCUAGCUACCAUCUGUUUAACCUCUUGCAGUACCCAACAGCCCUUGCUGUUUUCAUCGCAUGACCUGCUUUCCCAAAUUGUCUUACCUUCACUGGAUUCAGAACAUGCUCUUCAAGCUUGAUGAAAGGACAGGCCCUGUUAGUUUCCUUGACUACACAAUCCCGUAUCUCCUUCAUGAACUGCUCCCCUUUGAGUCCCCUCUUUUCCUCCUUGGGCACCAUCAACAUAAUAUCCACCCAUUGCCGAUCUGUCCAAUGCUUAUAAUCCCCACCAAUAGUCACCAGAACUUGAAUGAGAUCCUCUUGAAAGGAAACCCAACCAGCACCAAUUUUACUUCCAUGGCCCCAUCUGUCACACAUCUCCUUCACCUUGGCUUGAAUAACUGCAAAUACUCCUGCUUUCAACCAACGAACACACAGACAUCAAUGUUUAAUCUCAGCAGUCAAGAGCAUAAUUACCUGAUGGGAGAAGAACGAAGCCCUUCAUAGUGUCGUCUGCUUGCAAUCUCCGACCCCAACAAUCAUAUGUUUGCUCGCUUUCAAUCCAUCCAAUGAACUCAUCAAGCAAUAAUGCAGGCACAAUGAGGUGUUCUGGCAGAUUUGGUGGUUCUGACCACCUUAUGUCCCAGCUCCUCAUGCCAUCAGGAAUCAAACCCCCAUCUCACAGAGCAGCUUGAGCAGGAGAUGUUGCCCUCUGCAGUCUCUCCAAAUGUUUUGAGCUCUUGUACUGCUUUCGCAGUAGACCACUUGGGACUUCAUCGUAUCGUUUCUGUCUUGCUUAGGAAUGAAAAUUCCUAACACUGUAUGGAGAAACCAUGGCAUGUCUAGAACUGCAUUGUUGACAAUCAAUAAAAACUUUCGGUAUACACUCACAAACUUAGAUCAUCCCAAUCCCACACGAGACGUUUCUUCGCGAAGAUCCCACGAGAAGAACGUGCUUAUCGCACAUUGUUCUAUGUCAGAAAAAAAUCAAUGCGUGAUUGACAGAAAACUGUGCGCCGACCGUCAGGAGAAGCGGCACUCUCCCCGAGGAGGAUUCCAGCUCCAGGGAGCGACAGGAAAUGGAGAUUGUGAAGCCCUCGCUUCCCUACGCCUCCUCCAGCGCUCCAAACCCACGUCAAGCCGGUUAGAUUCUGGAUGCCGCAUUUCCUUUUGUUCGUUUGAUCGUGUGAUUGUUUGAUUUUUAUUUCCUCUGUGUGACAGAGUUGUGCGCGGCCGGAGCUUUCAAAGGCGUCACGGCUUCGUAUUAUCGUCUUUCCAUUCAUCCUCUCGUACACAAUGCUCCAUCUGGUCUCACUGAUCAUGUGAACCAAGCACUCUUAACCACGGCUUGUCUUGUGGAUCAUAGCGUAUAGACUGUGGUGAUGGAUGAUCCUUGCGUUUUCCGCCUAGGUCCUGGGACUUGGAUGGCUAGCUAUCUCUUUGUUGCGGCCAGCAUCCUCGCGAAGCUCUUGACUCAAUCGCCAUCAGAAGUUUCCAAGAGGUAAACAUGGCUUUGCAUGAAAGUUUUCACUUGCAUGUUUUCUAGCGGGAUUUGUUUUGUCACGACCAUAGAACACAUCUUUCGCUGCCGAGGCAACCUGGUCUUUGCUCGUUCCUGCGCCUUUUACGAGUAUUGGUAACAUUUACUUCCUCGACUUGGUUGAUUGAUGAGGAUUCUUCUUCUUCGUUACCUUCUUCUAAGGAGGGAACAUCCUUCAAGCAGUAAGACGCUUUGGGGAACAUUUGUCACUUGGGACGACCACCACCGGUGACAAGCAUUUCUCGAGUGAGUCACGUCAUUCUUUUCUCUCGUUCGUAAGAAUGGCAUCUCAACAGUGAUAUCUUAUGGCAAAGGAAGAAUCCAGAAGAAGCAAAAGCUUUUAACGAGCUCGCAGGGAUUUGAUAGGACUGCAAAUCCAAGCCGACUAAACAACCUCAUGCAGGACAAGCAUGGAUGCGUUGUAGCGGGUUCCUUAGUCAGCUGGGAACUGCUUUUCCCAUUCGUCUGACGAUUUCAUGCGAAAGAGCUUGUUUUUUGUUGUGAAAGUUUCAUAUAGACAAACGCGAUCAAGCUCUUGUAAGACAGGACCAAGUUUACAUCAGGACGUGAGCUACUUUUGCAGGACACCUAUUCCCUUUCUUGAAAUAAAAAGAAAUUACAGAAGAUUGCUAAUAAAUUACGAGAAAAGGGGCACUAAGACGAACUCUGCGACGCCAGUAUACUGCUCUCUUUGCACCGUGAAAAUCCCGUGCUUAGGGUGGAACACAAUCCAUCUAGUGGGAGUAAAUCCCAGGAGCACCACACACUGCCCAAUCCAGUACAUGUUGUACGUGCUACAAUACCACGCCUUGCCACCGCCGUCAUCCACAAAGGCAUCAUCUUUUUCAAGUUGCUCGCAUCUCAAGCUCGUUACCACUGGGUGUCGAUUCAAGAGCUCCAACACCACCUCCUCGCUGGGUCGAGUAAUCAAGCCCACUUUCCUCAAACUAUUACCUAGAACAUAAACUUGGAAUAAAUUCUUGUCCUGCUGCUUAUGCCUGAAGAGCUCCAGUGCCUUAUGGAUCAAGGACAAGGCUGGCUGUUGGCGCUCCUGGAGAGAAAACUGGUGUGCCGUGGUGCCAAGCUUGGCCAUGGCCUGGGAGCAAAGGUUUAACGCUCGCUCCCAGCAGCCAGAGCACCGUUUCGCUUCUUUGUUUACUGUGGCUAUCGGCAUACCUUGCUCAUCGAAGUCAAACAGAGGCUGGAGAUCACCGCCUCGAGGCGGAUUAGUGCUUUUCAACUCGCUACCUGGAAAAAGACCGCUCCAGUCGACCGUCGCUUCCUUGGGAGAUUUUCCUGGUAUAAAAGGCUCAACCUGGUAUACCCUCUGAGCCCUAGACGCCAGAUCUCUGAGGCAACACCAGCGCGAAG
This 47949-nucleotide long non-coding RNA is filed under the name Selaginella moellendorffii. Its description in RNAcentral is "long non-coding RNA (SMOE_LNC000254)". The record is from RNAcentral. Lineage: Eukaryota; Viridiplantae; Streptophyta; Lycopodiopsida; Selaginellales; Selaginellaceae.